GAAAAAGGACUCAAUCGCAUAAAGUGAAAAAGUCCUAUUGGAACAUUAAAUAAGAGGUAUUUAUUGAGAAAAUAGACUAAUAUUAUAUUAGUGGCUGGACAUGGAGCCUUAAAUUAAGGGAUGGUCAAAUGUUAGGUGACAAAAGAUGAUAAAAUAAUAAUAAACCUAAAGAUAGCUAUCAUCUUUCUCAAUUCCCUCUCUUCACCACCGAAAAUAUCAGCCAUUAUAGAGUUCUUGGAGCUUCAAAAUUUUAGCAACUUAAAACCUUUGCAAGUAAGUGAUUUUGGGGGAUUUUUUUGAAUAUUUUUGUACUUUUGAGGUCCUUGUAGCAUGAGUUUUCUAACAAGGGGACUAUUUUACAAAAUGGUUGAAAGUCUAGCGUUUUGCCAUGAUAGUAGACAUGUUGAUCUCUAAAAUUUUAUGGAAGAAUAUGAGUUAUGGUUGUGAAAUAAAUAACUUUUGUGAAGAAACUUUCAUGGAAGCCCUAACUAGGAACCAUUUUGCAUAAGUUGAAAAAAUUAGAUGGUAAAUGUGAGAAAUAAUGGGAAUUUUGGGUUACUAUAAUAGUAAAAAGGGUUCGACUAGGCUUAAGAUAUGAAGAAAUUCAAUAAAAAUCGAUUUUUAGAUCUAAGGGUAAAAUGGCCAUUUUGCAAAAGUAUAGGGGCAAAACGACUAUUUUGCCCAAUUAUAAACUGUUGAGUACCUAGAUCAUUAAAAUGAUUAAAUUUGUGAAUUUUUAUCAUUAUAGAUCAAGAAUUUUAAAAUUCGAGCCUAGACCAGGGAAAAGCAAAGCAAGUGGACUAUGCCGAACGAGUAGUCUACAUUUUGUAAACCGAGGUAAGUUGUAUGUAAAUAAUACAACUACAUUGUUAUUAUAUGUGUUUAAUUUGAUAUGGAAUAAAUCCUUUAUUUUUGGAAAUAAUUAUGUAUGAUGAAUACUAAGAUAGUAGAACUCUCAUUGAUUCUUAGGAAAUAAAUUGGUUAUUCAUGCCAUGACACUCGGAUCAUUUGUGUGCUAGUGUAAGACAUGUCUGGAACAUGCAUCAGCCACAUUAUGAAAGCCAGUGUAAGACCAUGUCUGGGACAUGGCAUCGGCAUUAAGACGAGAGCUAGUGUAAGACAUGUUUGGGACAUGCAUCAGCCUCGAGAUGUAAGCCAGUGUAAGACAUGUCUGGGACAUGCAUCGGCUACAAAAUGUAGACCAUGUCUGGGACAUGGCAUUGGCACUAUACCCUGUGUUUGAGGCUUAGUAAAUAUCCGAUAGUAUUUCAAAUGGUUUAACGGUGAGAAUUACAGUUUAAGUUAAACGAGAAAAGUAUAACCAUGUUGUGAGUGGUACAGGUACCUAUUUGAAAUGUAUGAGAUGUGAGUUUAGUGUAUGCUAUGUGAAUGGUAUUUGAUAGUGAUAAGUAAGUUGUGCUUAUACCUAUUUUUUUGUAUCAUAAGUAUGAUGAAGAUUGGUAAAGUUGUCAUUAUAUUUAUUUUCAUGCAACUUAUUAAGCUUUAUGAUUAACCUAUUUCUUUCCAUUUUCUUAUAGUGUCGCCUAAUUAGCUCGUGGAUCAACGGACGUCGGAGGCAUCGAUCACACUAUCAAUCAAAGCAUUUGGUAUAGUUAGAUUUAUUUAUUUUGAUUAUGCCAUGUAUAAGAUCCCGACUUUAGAAUUUUGUGUCAUUGUUAAUCGACCAAAUGUGUUGGUUUAUUUUAGAAUUUUGAUUCAUUUUGUAUAAGGCCACGGAAAUGGCUAAAGUUGAAAGUUGUUAUAUGAAUACAAGAGGUUAUUUCAUGGAUGGGUAAUUUGUUGGUUUUUUUAGUGAAUAUAAAAUGUGUAAAGGCCUUAGAUGUGGUUGUUGGAUUAGGGAAUCAUAUUAUGAUGAUCUUAAGCAUGAUGGAUGUUGUUUUUUUGUGUUUCAGGGUGGCAAAAGGCUUGGUAAGUAGCAUUAUGUUGUCCAUACAGGUAGAGGCAUGGGUGUGUGUCUAGGUCGUGGGCGUGUUGUCCGGCCGUGUGUCCCCUGCACGUAGAAAUUUCAAGUCAGUAUGCAUGGUAGUAAACACACGGGCAGAGACACGACCGUGUGUCUCAGCCGUGUGAAGGACAUGAUCUAGCACACGAGCGUGUUCCUUGACCAUGUGACCCUUAAGGAUUGCUGACGUCAGAAAUAGAAUGUCAAGAUUUUUAGACACAGGCUAGGACACAGGAGUGUCAUGGCCGUAUGAGGGACACGAGCCAUGGACACGGGCGUAUGUCAGGCCAUGUGAAAACCCCUAUAGGUUCGAAUUUAGAAUUUAAUUCACACGAACAUGGGGCACGGGUUCCUAGAGGCUUAGGUUGUGUGUGUCACACGGGCCAUCAGCACGACCAUGUUAUAAUGAACACACGGGUGUGUUACCCUUCUACAAGGGCGUGUGCCCUAUUUCAAGAGUCAUUUUUAUUAAGUCAGUUUAAGGACUCGAGAUGAUUUCGAAUGGUUUCCAAUGAGAGUUUGAGGCCUCCUAGGCCCACAUUAAGGAGUUUAAACAAGAUUAGAAAAAUUUUUAAAUUUGAUCAAGUUUUGAUGACUCGAAAAUGAUUGUAUGCAUGUGGUUAAGUAUGGUAAUGCCUUAUGCCCAGUCCCGACCUCGGACUCGGGUAAGAGGUGUUACAAGUACAAUGAUUAGCUUCAUAUAUCAUUUGAUUUUGUUAAAUAAAUUGCCAAAGGAAGAGAUUGUUGAGGCAAGAUAUGUUGUUUGAGGCUAAGUGGCACUUAGCAGUGCCUACUGUAGGCUGACACUAAGGCAGUUAAAUUACUUACCUUAUUUGAGUUGACAAUUUAAUGAAGAAAUCUUUGAAUUUGCUAUUGUGCUAUUAUAUUGAAAAUACUAUAAUCCAAUUAUAGAAACCAAUCAUUCGCCAUUGAAAAUUGGAUUAGAUUGGAUUGAGUGAAUAAAUUAAGUCAUUGGAAUAUGAAGAUCCAAUCGAGGUUGUGUUGCUAAUUUUGGAGAACAUAUCUUUGAUUGAUUGUGCUUUUAAUGUUUAUGUUGUAAUAGCUAUUUUCAAAGAGUUACGUUAUAUUCACUUAGACUUUAUGUUAGCAAGCCAAAACAAAUAUAUGCUAUAAGACUUGCCUAGGUUAUGUAUGAGAGUUUAUGGAGAGCACUUCAAUAUGUUCAUUUGAGGAAUUGUUUUUGAGAGUAAGUGCAAGCUAAAUUGUAAACACGGAGUGUUUACUUCCCAAGUUCUCAGAGGAAGAAUUUGGAAGUGAGUGUUCUAAUCUUUAGGUACAAAUGUGAUAUCUCUAUUGUAACAGUCCAGUUUUGACCCUAGUCAGAACAGUGGUUUCGAGACCAUGCAACCGAUUCUAAAAAAAUAUUUUAAUAUUAUUUUCUGUGUCUGUGAUAUGUGAAUUUAUAUCUGUGAAGUUUCUGUGAUUUAAUUUGUCUGUUUCUGUGCUUAAAUAUGAAAAAGGAUUUAAUUGCGUAAAUGAUAAAUUUGCAUGUCAUUUAUUCAAUGUGUUUAAUUGGCAUGGCUUUGGAUUAUUAUGGCCUUAUGUGGCAAUUACUCCAUUGACUUUAUGAGUGGUCAUAAAUGACCUUGUUUUAUGAAAUUGAUAUGUUUAUUAAUGAGGUAUAUAAUAGUAAUUCAUGCUUUAACAUGAAUUAAAGAAAACAAAUUUCAUGCAUGUGUUCAUAAAACACAUAUGAGAACCGAAAAUCAAAGAAAAUAAAGAGAAGAAAACCAUUUUAGGUUUCGGCUAGCUUAAUCAUUGAUUAAGGUAUGAAUUUUCGUCUGUUUUUGAUAAUUUCUACGUUUCUGUAAUCGUUGCUUCGUAUUCUUCAAAACCCAUGUUUGAAUUUAUGUUUCUGUUGAAGAUUAUGAAAUGUGCCAUUGAUGAUUAUAUGAGCUUUGUAAUGUUUUUAUAUGGAUUAUGAAAGAUAUAUGUAAGAUUAUCAUGUUUUGUUCUUGAUUUUUUUAUGGAAUAGAGCUAUUUGGUCUAAUUUGUGAAAAUGAGGUUUUGAAGGACUAAAUUGUGAAUUAAAUAUGUUAUUUGGGCUUGUAUGGAAGCUAUGUAUAUUCGGCCAAGCUAUAGCCUUGGUGAAUUUUGCAUAUUUGUGAUUUUAUGAAAAAUAGACUAAAUUGUCAAAGUGUGAAAAUGUAUGGGUUAAAAUGCAAAGUGCCCUAAAUAUGUAUUCAUGGAUUAUUUUGAAUGAAAUGAAUGAUUGAAUGGUUGAAUUUGAAUUGUAAUAGAUCAAGAACAAAUAAAAUCGGACUUAAAUCGAGGGAAGUCCAAAAUAGUUGAAUAGUCGACUCGUUUCCGUCCGAAAUUCUUACGAGGUAAGUCAAAUUACAAUUACAUGUUAAAUUGACUAAAUUCUGAGCAUACAAAUUUUAAUCUAUAUUGGAUGGCCUUGAGAGCCUGAUGAAUAAAUUUCGAGAAAACUCUGAUAUUAUACUAGUAUCUAAAAAGCUCUAUAUGUUUCUAAAAGAACGUUGACAUUGAUCUGAGAUAUCGUGUAACAUCGUGUCUGGGACACAGGCCUCGAUUUGAGAUUUAUGUGUAAGACCAUGUCUGGGACAUAGGCAUCGUAUCUGAUUUCGUGUAAGACCCUGUCUGGGACAGAGGCAUCGAUACUGAAUUACAGGUAAGACCACGUCUGGGACGUCGGCAUUGUACCCGUUCAUGAGUGUCUGUAUCGUUUCUGAACUGCUUGAUGAUAGAAUACAAGAUAUGGGAAUGAAUAUAUGAAAUGUAUAAUCUAUACGGGUACGUUUGUAUCGUACUAAAUUUCUGAAUAUGAAAGACUCUGUUUCUGUGAAAUAAUGAAUGUGAAGUAUGUAUGAAAUCAUGGAAAUGAAAUAUGACAUGUAUACAAGCAAAUGAGCAUGGUUAGGCUCAUGAACUAUUCUGUGAAAUGGUUAUGAAUUAUUGUUGUUGAUUUGUACUUUAUAUGAUUUAAUAGUUAAACCAAUUGUAUUUGGCUUACUAAGCUCUUUAUAGUUUACUCUGUGUGAUUUAUGUCUGUUUUACAGUUAUCGUAGCUACUGAAGGCUUGGGGAUAGUUGAGGAUUGUCACCACACUAUCGAACUCAUUUUGGUACUUUUGAAAGUGUAAAUAUUUUAAGUAUGGCAUUUAUAGGCUAGAAUGUCUAUGUAUUAAACUUUGAUAUGUAUAUAUGUUAUGCCAUGAGAGUUGGCUAACAAAUGGUACGUUUGUGCUUAGUUUUGGUAAAUGGUUUGUGAUGCCAAAUUGUGUAUGAUUGUAAUGGUUAUAUGGCCUUAUAUGUGAUGAUCAUUCUGAAAUAUGCCAAAUUAAAGAAAUGGUAAGUUUAAGCAUGAGUUAGAAUGUGCCAUAAUUGAGCUAUGAAAUGAGCGUUUUGGCAUGUUGUUGUAAUAAGAUUUUUAAUGUGUUUUGGUAUAGAUUUGAAUAGGUUGUUAAAUGAUGAUGAUUUAGUUAUAUUGAAGCAUGUUAUGAGAAUGGAAUUGGUUGAAAUUUUGGUAUAAAUAUUGUUUAAUAUUGCUUGUAGGAAUGACCCAAAAAGGGUGGCAAGUUGGCUUAAACCAAUCCUGCAUUGUGCCAUACGAUCAGGGAAAACGGGCGUGUCAUAUGGCCGUGGGCUUAAGUCAGUAGCUAGCUAAGUAUCACAAGGCCAUAGCACACGGGCAUGUCUGUUGGCCGUGGGUGAAAGUCAGUAUGUAUGCCUUGUUUUGGCACGGCUGGUUCACAUGGGCAUGUCUGGUGCUCGUGUAAGGCACACGGCCUGGUCACACGGACGUGUGACCUCAAUAGAAUUGAAAAAUUUUUCGAGUUUUGAAAUUUAUUAAUGUGUUCGGUUUAGUUUCGACUGUCUCUAAAAAUAUGUUUUAGGUCUCGUAGACCUUCAUAAGAGAUGGAUUGUAGAUGAUUGCCUAUGUAUUAAUGUUAUGUGAUAUCUGUGAUUCUGAAUUGGUCUGAAAUGUUCUGUCUGUCUAGUAAUGCCUCGUAACCCUAGUCCGAUGACGGUUACGGGUUAGGGGUGUUACAUCUAUACUUGGAGAGUGAUGGGAUAUGAAUCACUCAAUGUAUUUGUGAUUAAAGAUAGUGGUGAGCAAGGCUCUGUAUACAAAGGGAAACCAAACUGCAUAAACAACUCUUUGGUGUCCUUUAUUUUUGUUUGUACAGUUUUUAGUAGUGCUAAGCCGUAGUGACCACUACACAACAUACGUUUCAACUUUUUUAAGCUUCUUGCCAAAAAAAAAAUCAUUUUAAAAGGUUGCUAUUUUUACAAAAUUGAAAGUAAACAAAACUCAAUACAACAUACUCAAAUCAAACCAAAAUUUAAUUUAUACUAAUCAAAUUUCUUAAACCAAACAAACAAUGUGAUACUUACAUAUCUCAAUCCUUAACUGCCAAAGUCCUAAAGAAAGAAGCAAAGUAGAUAUCUGACGAAUGUUGACAAACUCAAAUAAAAUAGAAAAAGUAAGGAAAGAGUUUUCCAAAGAUUAUUGACGAACCCCAAAUUGGAGCUUUGUAGAGGUGUUCAACCUGGAUGUCACGGAGGCUGCCAAAAAGGUGUAAGCAAAAAGCUAAAAAGGUUCUCAAUAAGGGGACCCUCAACUUUGCACUUUCUCAUGCCUUUCUUUCCUGAUUGGCUACUGGGUUUUUCACUGUUAACUUCCACCUAAUUUUUUGCCAUUAAGUCACCCCCUCCAUGCCCUUAUUGCAUUCCUGUUUCAUUAGUCCAACCUUUGGUGAUUGGUUUUUGCUUCACUAUCAUACACUUACUGAAAAGUAAUAAUUUUUUGCUUUUCUGGUUUUUGAACUUCACACGAAAGCUUUAGUUUCUAUGAUUAAUUUCACUUAUAAUUAUUAAAUUACUUUCACAAUUAUUAUAUACAAUAUGUUUCCCCAUCCCUCUAAAGGAGGACUUAAGUUUUAAACUACAAUACAAGACGGCCUGACUCACUCAGCACGAUUUUUAGGUAAGAUGUUUUUGGUUUGGACUUCAUCAACUCUAUUUCAAAUUAAAUAAUAAAAUAUUUUUAUUUAAAUUUAUUAUAACAAUAUUUAAAAUUUAUAUUAAUAAUAUUAAAAUAUUUAAUUAAUAAACAUUAUCUAAUAAAAUUGUUACACAUACCGUCACAAUUACAAUUAUUAAAAAUACAUAUGGAUAAUUAUAACCAGAAUUAAUCUUAUAAGGCAUGAUCGAUAAUUAGAAUACAUCCAGAUCUAUACCUUAAUAAAUAUACACAAAGUUCACUUAUAGUAGGACAUAAAUUAAAAUGAAUAUUGUUUGAGAACCCACACAUGAUUUAUAUCUUAAAGUUCCAGGAGCAUUAACUUUGUGAUUAAGCUAAGGCCUUUUUGAGGUAGACCAACUCUGUCGAGAAAAGUUUGUGAAGUGUUGUUCGUCAGAAGCUGACAAACCCCUCAACUAGUCAAUAUUAUCUGCAAUGGGAGUUUUACCCCCCAACUCUAAUAAAAGCCAAGUGCUUCAAGAAGUGGUAAAUUCAUAAAGUGAAAGCAGCUCGUCAAGUGUGAUAAAGAGGACCAUAUAGAUGGACAUAGCCACCCACCAAAGACAUCUCAACAUUUAUUCAUGUAAUAUUUGAACUCAUGUCUUAUAACACUUAUUAAUAACUAUACAACUACUUCAGUCAGCAAUAAUAAAUAUAUUUGAAUUUCGUUAUCUUUUUCACUUUUUGUUUGUUGUUUAAUAAUUUCUUAUGUAAAUACAUAUUAAAUUUUUGAUUAUUUAAUUAUAACAUUAACUUUGAUAUUUUUUUACUUUUAUAUUUUAAUUAUUCUUUUCAUUAUUGCAAUUAAUUAAUUUUAUAUAAAAUAAUUUCACGAAUCAAUAUCAAAGUUACAUAUCUUAUUUUAAUUGAAGUCAGAUAUAAUUUUUUUAUGAAAUAAAUUAAAUAUAUUUAAUUUUAUAUCAUUUUUAAUAUUUAAUUAAUAUUUAUUAUUUUUGUAAUUAAAAAAAUAAACUAAAUAAAAUAUAUAAAUAAAUAAUAUGAAUAUAAUUAUUUUUUAUUUAAAAUUUGCUUAAUAAAUAAAUGUCAAGGAAGGUGUAAGAGAAUUUUAGAGUAAAAGUGCUUGGUACCUGAAUUUUAGCCUAAUUGAAAUAUAAUCUUAUCUUUCUUUAUUAAGCAAAAAUCAAACAUUUUCCUGUGUUGGCCAAUUGGUAUCCCUAAAACCCCAACCCUAUCUAUAGCGGCGAAAUCCAGAUAACAAUACAAUCUAAUCUCCUUCCAAUCAUCUUCUUCCACGUGUACAUAAAGUGCCACCCCCAAUCAACCCAAUCACCAUCACUUUUCCCCUGUAAUUUUCUGACACUUACGCCUCUUUCCCUUCCAUAUUGUAGAUCCCGCUCUGUUUCCUUUCCCUCUUUAAAGGUCUCUUCUCUCUUUUUUUUUUCUUUCCAUUUUCCCUCCAUCCAAACAGAAAUAUGUGCAACAAUAACAACAGUACUAGACGAAGCAAAAGAAAACCAAAGUCUCGUAGUUUUUCUCUGAAACAUUCUCGGAAAACCCGAACUAAAACUAGGAGACCAAAGUACCUUAGCCUUCUUCACCUUGAAGAAAACUUACCCCAAAUGCCAUUAACCAACAACAACGAGAACAACAACAAAGAAAUUGCAGAUAAACAGCUUAAUCUUUUCCCACUUCACCCUGAAAAUUUAGUUGAAGAUCGUGAUACACAGUACGAUAAUGUUUCUUUGCUUUUCGACACGACAGAGGGAGAUGGUGAUCAUGCUGUUACACUUAACGGUCUUUUAGACAGCGAAGGUAGUGAUAAUUAUAAGAAUGAAAUGGCGACGGCGACGACCACGACGACGGCGACUACGGUGACGUCGGAAGAGAGUCCUUUGUCGCCUUCUUUUACGUAUAGGGGGUAUAACUGUGAAGAUCGAACGAGGUUGUCGCUUGUACGGGCGGCUAUGAAAGGGAAGAAAGAGAGAGAUGAGAGUGAGGAGAAGUGGGUGGUUUAUUCUGAGGUUGUGGAGAAGAAAGAGAUGGAAGAAGUGAGUAGCGGCGGCGGAGGAGACGGUGGUUAUGAUGGCGGUGCAUGGUGGAGUAAGAAGAAGAUGAAAAAGUUGUUGGCUUUGAAGCUUGACUAUGAGGAGAUAAUGAAUGCUUGGUCUGAUAAGGGCCCCCUUUACAUUGAAGGAGAGUCCCCUCAAAUUGUCCCUCACUUGCAUCAACCUUCUCCCAAUGUAAGAUCUUAGCCCCUAAUCAAUCAUUUCUUUUUGUUUUAACUUUUUCUAAUGUUAAAAGUUAAGAGUUUAAGUUAAUAAAAAUAUUUAAUUUUGGGCUUAUUUAGAUUUCUUUUUAUAAAAUAAAUUAUUCAGGAUGAUUUUUUAUUUAACUUAAAAAAUGUUUUUUUAUGCAGAAAUUUUUUUAUGAGUUUGAAUUUAAUACGCUAACUAUAUGUAUUAAAAAAAAUUAUGUACAAGUCAAAAUAAAUCAAUAAUGGUGUAUGGUAAUAAAUUGGAAGAGUAUUGCAUACAUAGAUAAAUAAUAAUUGAACAUCAGUUAUAAAUUAGGUGAUGGAAGAAAUAAUCUUAUAUUUUUUUUAUGUUAAUUGAUAAAAAUGUGAAAGAAAGUGGCAUAUGGGGGGAAAGUUGAGCCCAUGCUAGCUUUGUUUCUAUAUGAGGUGAUAAUAGGCUCAAUGUAGCUUUUGAAAAUUAUGUUUUGCACUUUUUGCUUUUCUCUUGAUGGGCCCUAGUAUACCUUUUAAGCCAGCUGGAUUUUUCAUUUUCGGCCCAGCUUUGUCACAUUUUGUUGGUUGGUUGGUUGGUUGAUAUUAAAAAUAUUAUAUAGUUUUCCGUGACAAUAUUUUAAAUUUUAAAUUAAGUUGUGCGUCAUCUUUUACCCUUUAUAGGAUAGCAAGCCUUCGGAAAUAUACCUACUCACUAGAAAUAAUAAGAUUUCUCUCAUUAAUUAAAUGCGGUCCAAUGUUUUUGGAUUGCUAACACCUUUUUGUUUUAACCCUUUGUUUUUUUUCACCGAAUGUGUUGAAAUGAAAAUUUUAAAUAGAAUUAAGGGAAAAUUAUUUAAUUUUGGAAAUUUCUUUUAUAUUAGGCAUGAAAGAACUAAAUUAAACUCUAAAUUUAAAAAUUAUUUUUACAUUAGAGUUUAAAUUAGGUAAUUAUUUUUACAUUGAGUUUUAACUUUUUUAUCUAAGUUAAUCUCUAAACUUGUUCACAUCUGUUUUAGGAAGUAACUUUUUUUAUCUAAGUUCGACCCUAAAUUUGAAAAUUAUUUUUAUAUUAGAGUUUAAAUUAGGUAAUUGUUUUCACCAUGGGGCCCGAAUUUAACAAUUAUUAACUUGAACUUGACAAUUAUUCUCAAAUUAAAGUAUGAAUUCUAGGAUUUUCAAGGACUAACUUGAAAAAAAAAAUGUUCAAAUCCCAAUAUGGGGACAAUUAAGGGUCUAACUUGAAAAAUAAAUUCAAACCCCAAUGUGAAAAAUUACUAAGUUCAAGUCUUAAAAAGUGAUUUAACCUUAAAUUUUUUUUUCCAAUAUGAUCGUGUGUGCUUAAUCAACCUGUCAUGUAUUAUACUAUAACUAUGUUAAUGGGACUUGGGUCUCGUGAGUUUUGAAUAAUAAAUUAGGAAUUAACAUAGAGGUAUACCUAUGUUGAUUGAGCAGGUGGUAAUGGAUGGUAUGGGAAGUGCAUCCAAUGUGUGGAAGGUACCAGAAAUGGCAAGUGAUUUGAAGAUAAAGGAAGAAAUAGAGGAGAAAGAGGAAUGGAGAAAAGGGCACAGAGAAGCAAGUGUGUUGAGAUACAAAGAGAAGAGGCAAAAUAGGCUUUUCUCUAAGCGUAUUCGUUAUGAAGUUAGAAAACUCAAUGCUGAAAAGCGCCCCAGGUUGAAGGUACAUACAUACAUGCAUGCAUGGGUUUUUUUUAUUUUUGAUGAAUAGUUGGAUUUUUGGAUAAGUCUAAUUGAAACUUGUAUAUUUUUACCGUGUUUCGCGUUUUGUAGGGUCGAUUUGUGAAGAGAGAUUGAGAAGUGGAAAGAGUAUACUCAGGCGAUGGAACAACUGUGGCCCUGGGUUGUUCAAAUGACCCUUUAUCAUAUUACAAUCAGUGAGGGAUUGAAUGUGAACAAUAGUUUAUAUCUGAAACUUGUAAAUAUGAAGGCUACGAUCAUUUGGAGCUAAACAGCUAACAUUAUUUUCCAAAUUCUGCCUUGAUUAAAAUUAUACAUGCUCAUGUAAAAUGAUUUCAAUUGUGGAUCACUAAAAUCACAAUAAGUUUAAACCUACGCAAAGUCUGGGUUUUGUAACAUUUGCUACCAUUUUUUUAUUUCAAUACCCUAAACUAUUUUCUUUUCCUCAAAAAAAUGGAUCAAAAUCACGAUUAAACAAUGAUUAUGCUGACCACGGUGCCAUACAAGAUCGGCCUCUUAGUGUUUGUACAAUGCCAUAAAAGAUCUUGACCAAAGUUAUUGUCAAUAGACUUAUGAGCAUUAUGCGCAAUUCAUUUGGUUCAAAUUAAGUUAGAUUUGUGUCCGAAGGGUGUAUUACAUAUGAAUAUUGUUAUCGCUCGAGAUUAUUCAUUUCAUGAGAAUUGGAAAUGCAGAAAGGAGUAGAUGACGGUUAAAGUGAAUUUAGAGAAGGUUUAUGAUCGAAUUCGUUGGGGCUUUAUGGAAGAUUCGUUAGUGGAUGUUGGGUUGCCAUCUGAGCUAAUUCAGGUGAUUAUGAACUAUAUCUCUUCCCCCUCGGUGCAGAUUCUUUGGAAUAGUUCUUUCAACGAGAACUUUUGUCCAACAAGGGGUACUCAACAAGACGAUCCUUUUUCUCCAUAUUUAUUUGUCAUUGGAAUGGAAAGCUUGGGGACAUCUUGUUCAUGAAGCCGUUGAAAGUAAUCUAUGGAAAUCAAUCAGAUUAUCAAGGAUGGCCCGCCAAUUUCCCACCUAAUCUUCACUGAUGAUCUAGUUCUAUUUUGUGAAGCAGAUGCAAAGCAAACUGGGUUUGUGAGUAUGAUCCUAGACCAAUUUUACUAUUUUUCAAGUCACAGGAUUAAUGCUCAAGAAACCAAUAUGUUUUCUCUUCGAACGUGAGCAGGGAAGAUGCCAAGAUCAUUAGCAGAGAAAUGGGUUUCCUACGAGUCAAUGAUUUGGGAGUAUAUUUGGGGAUGUCUCAUUGUCACUAAAGGGUAAUGUUAAACUCACAUUAUAUUUGUGGCCCACUAACCUAGUGCUUAAAAAAACCACUUACAUAAGGUAAUAACCAAAAAAAAAAAAGAAACAUGUAUGUUUCUAUGACUUGUCAUCUUCUCUCAUCUAUCGCAUAAAAUUUUUGGUGCAACAAAAUCUAGUUAAUAUUGACAACUUGAAGUCAAUUUGAUUAAAAGAGUACAAAAAAGCCGAACUUUGAAACAAUUAAAUAAUAUUACUAUAGAGAUAUUUAUGUCCUUUAAUAUUUUUAUAUAAUAUUUUAAGAAACCUUAAAUAUUUAUUUUUAAAAAAAAUUACCUCCCUAUAAAGUUAUUAUAUAUGUAUAUAUUAGAUUAUGACACACCUAUGAUGUGAGUGAAAAUAAAUUUAAGUAACAAAUAUAUUUAUAAAACUUGAUAUUAAAAAAAAAAAGCAUUAGUUGAAAUCAUACGGUUAACCCAUUAAUUGUUAUAUUGUUUUGCAUUUGAAUACCAUAAAAUACAUUUUUUAGAUUUCACCUAAUUUAUAUACAAUGACAAAAAUAUCCUUAUAGUAAUGUUUAUUAUCUUAUAAGAAAAAAAAAUUAUUGCAAUUAUUCAACUGAGUUAGGACCCGGUUAAUGACUAACAAUAUCUCAAACUGCCCUUUAAAUGUAAUAUAUAUAAUUUAUAUUAAAAAAACUAACCACCCGCUGCUAUAAAAACACUACCCUUCCUUUAAAAAAAUCAGCAAAUCAUUAAGGCUUUGUUUAGUAGAGUAGAAAGAAAAAUGGAAAGAUGCAAAAUUUAAUAUGUAGAAAAAUAAAAAUAUGGAAAAUAUAUUUUUUUUUUCUGUAAGUGUGAUUGGUAGAAAAAAAAAAGAUAAAGAAAAAAAUAGAAAGAAAAUGUCCAUUGCUUGUAGAGUUGAAAAAUAAAAUAAAAUGAAAGAAAAUAAAAUAAAACAUUUGAAUGAUGCAUAAUUUUGAACUAAGAUGCCCUCCCUCUCAUUUUCUUUCCCCUCAUCAUUUCAAUUUGGAAUGAUUGAUGUUUAAGUAUCAGGAUGGAAAAUGGUCCAUCUCUCAUUUCUUUUUUCUUUCCUCUCACUUUUAUUCCCUACCAAAUACACUCAAAAUUUAUUUUACUUUUCACUUUUUCAUUCUCUUCUUCCAUCCCUCCACUUUUCCACCCAACUAAGCAUACUCUUAAAGUUAUACUAUAGUAAAACCUCUAUAAAAUAAUACCCUUGGGACCCCAAAAAAUUAUUAUUUUAUUGAGGUUAUUAGUUUAUCGACAAAUUAAUAUUUAUUAAUUUAGAGAAUAUUUCAUACCUUAUGCAUGUGGUUUUUUUUGUUUAUCAAAAUCCAAUAUGCAUGUAGGUGCAAUGAAUCAAAGUUAAUUGGUUCAUGUAACAAAAAGAAAAAAAAAGAGUUAAUUAAUUGGUUCAUGUAACCAAAAAGAAAAAAAAAGAGUUAAUUAUUUCAAAAUUCAAUACGUAUAUAUUCAUUUGAUAGAUUAAAAAUUUAUUAUAAAUAAACACAUGUACAUAUUAAAUUAUUGUAAUUCAUAUAAUCUUUUCCUCCAUGGCUUCCCAUUUGAAAGGUGUAAAAAAUCUACAUUGACAGAUAAGAUGAGAAAAGCAUUAUGUGAGUACAAAAAUGAGCAUCCCUCUUCAAGUAAAAAAGGUUUGCAAUAGUGGGUUCAACAAACAUUUGAUCUCUCUAUUAGCCAAUCAACAAUAUCAAAUAUUGUUAAAAGGUCAUCUGAAUAUUUGUCAAAAGAAAUAACGAAUAGCAAUGUUAAAAAGCACAAAUCAGCCAAAUAUCCUGAAUUAGAAAAGGUAUUGUAUGAGUGAUUUCUCCAAUAUCAAGAGAAAGUAAACAUGAAUAGAGAAAUGAUUCAAAUUAAAACAAAAGAGUUUCUACAGAAAAUAUAUAGUGAUGCAAAUUCCGAAUUUAACUUCUCAAUUGGUUGGCUAGAAUGGUUUACGGUAAGACAUGGAAUUAAGUCUUAUAGAAGAUUUGGUGAAAGUAGUUCAGUUGUUAUGGAGAAUAUUGAAGAUGCUUUACCUCAAAUAAGAGCUAAAUUAGAAAUUUUUUAUUGGAAGGUGUAGUCAACCAAUUUUGCCCGGGCCCAUUUAAUUUAUUUGCAAAUAAUAAACCCGAAUAAAUAAAUAAAAUCCAAAGACUAAAUAGUCCAGUAAAGUCCCUUUACAAUUUUCAAAAUGCAUGUACCAAAAUAACUCAUGACCCAACAAAUUUUAAAACCCAAUUCUAUAAACCCAGGCCCUAAAUCUAGCCCAAACCCGAAAAAGCCCAAAAAGGAAAAGUAUUCCAGCAGCCAAGCACCAGAAGCUUCUGGAACGUGCCAGAACAGUGCCAGGGAGUUGGGUUUCACGAGCGGAUUCCUCGCACAGUUUCGUUCAAGCGUGCUUCUCCCCGUUUCUCCGUACGGCCAUUGCUCCAUACCUGCAAAAGAAUGUACGAGAAGAAGCAGCAACAGAAUGUACAGCCAAAUGACAGAGGGAAAAUGUAUUUUUAUUUUUCAUUUAUUCUGUAAAUUUGGGCUAUAAAAGCCAUUAUUUGUACCUUGAUUUUUUACACACACACACAGAAUAUACUAUACGCAUACAAUAUCUGUACACACGCACAGAGAAGAGAGAAGCGAUUUAAGAUCAAUAGAGGUGAUUUCAUUUUUUUUCUCUUCCGAUUUUUUUUCGUUUUUUCUAUUCUCUUUAUUUUCUUAUUUGUUUGCUUAUUUUUUAUGCAACUUAAGGCCGACGAAAGCUCUAAAUCUGCCAUGCGAAUAUAAGGGCGAGAGGUCACAUAAUAGUGGAAAUCUAUUCAUUUUACAAAUCUGUCUUCAUUUUUUUUCUUUAAAAAAUAACAUGAGAUUUGAAAGCUCCAUUCAAAUAAAGAAGAAAGAAGGGAAAAUACUUAUCGAAUCCUUUUAGAUCAGGUCGAGCUCCUUUAACGGCAAGAUUGGGCAUGUCUCGCUUACUAGUAAUCACCUAAAAGCAUGGUGGUUUGGUAGUCAAGUGAAGAAAACCCUAAAAAAAUUGAUUUUAAAGGCUGGAAUUUCUUUUGAUCUAAGUGGGGGUUGUGUUUGAGGAAUGAAACAGAAGAGGAUAGGUCUUAAAUGACUAGGUGACUAUGCGGCGCCGUUUCAAAGCGCAAAGGCCCGCGCGUCAACCCGUUUUGGUAGGCCGGGUAUGCGCAUGGUUGGGGUGAAUGGGGAAAUUGCGUGACGGAUCCCUCCCCUUUGCGCGCAGUCCUCAAUUUUCGCCUGAUUCGCCUAUUUUAUGUUUUAAAAUUGGCCCGUUAGUUCGUAUAUGGUUUCAAUUGGAUUCGUGGUUUAUUGCUGCAUUGUGAGCAUGGGAUAUUUUCAAUACUAGUCCUCACAUGUUUGUGCGCAUGGCACAUUGAUUCUAUUUUGUAAUUAUUUUAUUUGCAAAUUGUUUCUCCUGUUUUAAUUUUGCUUCAAUUAAGUAUUAUUCUCAUUUUACUGCAUAUAUAUUUUUUAUAUGAUUGAUUAUUGGUUAAGAUAUUUCAUAUGGUUUUGAUAAUUGAACUCUCCUUUAAAAAAGGGUUAUUUUAAUCUUAUUUUCUCUUUAUUUCAAUCAUUUUUAUUAGUUGAUGUUUAUUUAUUUUAUUCUAGUUUAUAUAUAUCAUUGAUUUCAUGUUAUUUUGUAAUUUUUUUUGAUGUUUUUAAAAAUGCAUUUGUUUAUGUGUCAUUUACAUUAUUAUUAAACACAUGUUUUGUACUUAUAUUUAAUUUGCAUCUGUUAUUAAAGCUUUGAUAUUCUUAUACAUAUAGAUUUUAAUAAACAUGUAAUUAAUUGCGUUUUUUAUUUAUUAUGUAUAUAACUUAUGAUAAAACUAGGUUAAUAUUAUAAUUCAUAUUUUAAUUAAAUGAUAUUUUGACAUACAAUUAUUUCUAACAUUUCUUUACAUGUAUAUGGUACAUAUUAAAUUAUUUUUACUAUGGUACAUGUUAUUAUUUUCAUAUAACUUUAUAUAAAUAUUUUUCUAUAUGUAUAUAUCCUCUUUUAAAAUUAUUUAUGUGUAUAAUAUUUUUAGGAACCCUAUUUUAAAUCAUAUAAUUUAUUGUAUCUCAUAUUAUCCUUAUGUUUUUUUAUAUAUAUUUUACUACUUAUAUAACUUAUAUAUUUACUUCAUUUUUUUCAUACAAUAUUAAUUUCAUUUUUACAAAUAAUUAUACCCAAUUUUUACUUGUAUAUACAAGUUUCAUAAAUCUAUUUUGUACAUUACUUUAUAUCAUGUAUUGUUAUUCCUUCAUAUUUCAUAUAUUAUUUAAAUUAUCUUGUGAAUUAUCAAUUUUUGAAUAGAUUUGUGUUUUAAAUAUUUUGUAUAUAAUUUGAUUUGAACUUUGAAAUUUAUAAUAACCAUUUCAAUAAAUAUAUACCCCAAGUUUUACGCAAAUGUAUCAACUUAUAUAUAUUAUAUGAUCAUUAAUUCUGCAUUUUGUUUCAUACAUAUUUUUGUACAUCAUUUUAUUUUAUGUUAUGAUCAUGUGUAUUAUUUUUAUAUUAAUUAUUCAUUAUCCAUGCUUAAAGAAUUUUUUGUUACAUUAUACCUAGAAUGAUUGUUAGAUGUACUAAGCAAGGUUUAUUGUAUUUUGAGUAUAUUAUUUCAUAUUUAUUAUUUUUUUACAAUGCAUUAAAUAUUUCAUCAAUUUUAAAAUGAAUAAACAUGUUUUUAAGCAAAUUUCUAAGUUUUUGUUAUUCAAAAAUUCUGAAAUAAGGCAAUAUCUAGUGUUUGGGAAAUUUGGAAAAUCGUGCUCAAUCGUACUGGGUAUGACUUUUCCGGUGAACCAAAUAUUUGGAUAACCCCUUUUAUAAUUUUUAAUUUUUUCAAAAGUCGAAAAUCGAUCGCAUCUUAAAGGUAUAAGGGAUCGUAUCCAAUCGUACUGGGUAUGAAACCGCAUAUCUUUGGAACGAGAGAUUUUUGACCACUAAUUUGAGCUAUUCAAACAUUUUUUUAUAUACUUCGGAAAAUCUUUUCUUUUAAAACUUUUUAAGGACAGCAUCAAAUCAAUUUGGUACCAGUUUUUGGGCGUAAUGAGGGUGCUAACCCUUCCUCAUGCGUAACCGACUCCCAAACCCAAUUUUUUUUAUAUUUUACCUAAACCAAAUUUAGUUUUCAUUGAAUAAAGCGUUUUAAUAGGUGGUCCAAUCACACCUAAAUCCAGAGAUUGGUGGCGACUCCGCACUCGAUUUUAAAAGUCGAUCCCCAUUGUUUUCUAAAUAAAAAAGGGUUUCGACAGCUUGGCGACUCUACUGGGGACUGAACAAAGAGAGCCAGGCCAUAAAAUUGAUUGUUUGCUGUCUUUUUAAUUGAAAAUUUGUUUUAGUAUGAUUCUUUUAAUUGCAUUUGCCUGUGUGAUGGUUGUGUUUCGAGUCCUGUCUAAUAAAUAUGGCAUUACAUUGCAUGACCGUUGUAGUUAUACCUAUUAAGUGAGAGUAAGAAACUAUGCUUUCAUGAGGUUUUCACCUUCGUAUGGGCUAGUGGAUUGCUUUCGGAUACAUCUGUACCUAUGAUUCUGUGAGAUUUUCAUCUCCGCAUGGUCAUAGGGAAAUGUAUUCCCCUGAACCGAACUCGAUCUAUAUGAGCCUAUAAUGGGUGAGGAUUGAGGAAUCUGCUGGUUCAGGUACCUUUACUCUAGAACCAAACUUCAUAUAGUGAACCUUAAGAACUAUCCUUAGGUAGAGCCACGUCGAACCUUAGUCAUUACCUAUUUGUGUGUUAUGAUUAUCUUUGUUGUUAUGCUUGUAUUUUAUUACUCGUAUUUGAUACUAACCUGUGCUUUGUUUUGGUUGUGUUUUGCAUGACAUUGCAUACUAAAGAAGGUGUUGGUUCGUAUUCGAUUGCUAAGUUAGAAAGUUUAACAUGAAGAAUGUGUAACAUUCCAAAAUAGGGCCUAAACGGAACAGUGGUUGCGAAACCACAAAUCUGAGGUAGAAAAAAAUUUAUUUUAUUAUUAUUUUGAGGUUCAUGGUAUGAUUACAUGAUUGUGCGAAAAUUUCGUGAUAAAAUUCUAUGCAUAAAGUGCUUAAGUUGAGGUUAGGGACUAAAUCGAAUAAUUUGCAAAACUUGCAUUCUAGAAGUUUUUAGUAUGAAAUUAUUUUGGAAUAUUAAUUAGGAGAUCUUAAAUGGUAAUUUGACCAAUUUUAAGUUCAUGGACAAAAUUAGGACAUGGAAGGAAUUUUUGAAAGUUUAGUAAGGAGGGGUAUUUUGGUCAUUUGGUUAUUAACACUAAUAAAAAGGUAAAAAGAUGAUAAAAUUGUAUCAUCUUCUUCAAUUUACCAGCCGAACCUUACCUCUCUCCAUAGCUGGGGUUUCUUCAACUUUCAAGCUUUAUAGUAAGUGAUUCCAAGCCCCGUUUUUAAUGAUCUUUACGUUUUUUAAGUCCUGGUAGCUCGAUAAAGCUUAUGCUAGCAAUAAUUUAAGUUAGGAAUCAAAUUUGGAAAAAUACCCAUAGGUGAAAUUUGUGUAUUUUGAUGUUUUAUGAUGGAAUAUGAGGCUUUAAAUUAUGUUAGACAACUUGUGCUACUUGGUUUUAAGUGAAAACGAGUAAAAAGGCUUAAUCGGUAAAAAUACCUAAUAGUCAUAAGUACAUAUUAGUGUGUGAAUUUGAUGUUGUCAUAGAAGGGAAAAAUGAUCAGUAUGUCAUAAAACAUAAGAAAAUGGGAUGAAGUUUAAUUUACGAGCCUUGGGGCAAAAGUGCAAAUAUGUGAAAGUUUAGGGGCAAAAAUGUGAUUUUGCCAAAGUUUGAGUAAAGGGUUGUUUUGAUAAAUGUUGAUAUUAAAUAAGCUAAAUUUUCUAUUAUAGAUCAAGAAGAGCGAAAUUCGGGAGUAGAUCGGGGAAAAGAAAAAGUAAAGGACUAAAUUGUAAACUUUAGUCACAUUUUGUAUCGAGGUAAGUUUACAGUAAAUAAAUGCAAUAUUCUUUUAUUUUACAUUAUUAUUGUCAAUUUCCAGCAUUUAUAUAUUUAUGUUAUGAAAAUAUUUAAAGUCGAAUUUAAGGUGAAGUGAUAGAGGAAAAGUGUUAGAAAGCCCCGGUUGAACCCUAGGAAUGUUAGGAUAUUAGGGUUGACAGGACAGAACAGAAAUGAGCCAUGUAAGUCCAUAUUAGAAAUAUGGCUUUGGAGACAGGAUUGAGCCAUGUAAGUCCAUAUUAUAUAUGGCAUUGGAGACAGGAAUAAUUCAUGUAAGUCCAUGUCAAAGACAUGGCAUUGGCAGGGUAUUGAUAGACAGGAAUGACCCUAGUAUCCUUAGUAUUCCGAGUGGUUCAACGGGUCAGAAUACGAGUUAAAUUACAGUGAAUUAACAGCAAAGGAAAAUUAGAUUAUAUUUAUGAAAAAGGAAAGGUCGGGUAAGAAAGAAGGUAAGGGAAUAAAGAAGAAGAUAGAAAUUGAGAAGUAAAGAAAUUUAUGAUGUUAGAUGAUAUUAUGCAUAAUUAUCCAUUAUGUUGAAUGUUGUGAUUUAUUUGCUUGUAAGCUUACUAAGCCUAGUGCUUAAUCUCUUUAUUUUCUUCUUCUUAUAGUACUUAUCUAGCCACUCGGGGAUCGAAGGAAACGUCGGAGGCCGAUCACACUAUCAAAGAAAUAACUCGGUAUAAUUAGACGUUUUGUUUUGUGUAUGGCAUGUAUAGAAACUUAGCUACUUUUGGUAUAAUAUGAACAAUGAAUGAUGUGUAAAUACUUGCUAGUGAUUAGCUAAUAAAAAUGGCUGAUGAUAUGCAUGUUUAUUAAUAUGUAUGAUUGAAUGGUGAUUAUCACAUGAAAAUUAUGAAAAAUGUGAAAGUAACCUAAAAACAGAUUCAAGUAACAGAAAUGACGUAACUUUGAAAAAUCACUAAAAAUUGUAGAAACAUAGUUUGAUGAUGAAUAAUAUAUUAAAUUAAAGCUUAUUAUGUCUAUUUUCCUAUGGAAUAAGAAAAACAGGUAAAGGUAUUAUAUUAUAUGAUAUAUCUAAGUUUUAGUGAAACAGGAUCAGAGCGAUUUCUGGAUCCCCUAUUUCAACUUUGUAAAUUCACCAUAAAUUGUAAAAAACUAAUUAGAAGGUUUACUUUAUAUGGUUAUAAUCCUUGUUGAGUCUAGUUUUAAGAGAAACAAAUGGCUUAGUGAUAUGAAUUUUGUACAGGAAGAAACAUGGUUCGUAGCAAGAAGAGGUUAGUGCAGUCGAGUUUUGAAACAAGGGAAACUUUAACUAAUAAACUGUACUAAUUGGACAAGUCAAAAAUCUAUGAAAAAAAUUAGUGGAUAGAUAUAUGAGUCUAGUUUCAGGAAAAAUUUACGGAUCUUAAUUUUGAGUUUUGGAACUCAAGAUAUGAAUUUUUAGGCGACUACGACGCAGAAUGGAAGCACAUUCCGAAAAGCUUAAAUAAACAAUUUAAAACUAUUUAAGUGAUAGAUUAAGUUUAGUAAUGCCUCGUGCUCAAUUCUGGAAACAGUCUCGGCUAAGGAGUGUUACAGAAUGAAUUUAUUAGUAAAGUUGAGGAUAAUGCGGCCGUCCGUGCAUGGUCAGAGAAGUUGCAAAACGAGAAAGGGGAUAGCCUGACAGAAGGAUAUACAUCAGAGUUGCAGAACUUUACUCACAUCAUUGUAACACAGAAUGAGCUGGAGGAGUUGAAGGACAUAUGGACUAGUUGGGAUGAAGGCACUAAACAGUUGUUCUACCAGAGUUAUGGUGAUAUACCGUACUUGCUCGAUGUUAAGGUGGAUAAACGUUUGUUCUGAGGUAUGACUCAAUUUUGGAAUGCUGCUUAUAAUUGUUUCACAUUUGGAGAAGUAGAUUUGGUUCCUACUUUAGAAGAAUACACUACUUUUUUUAAGAGUCCAAAGGCUCAAGCCAGGAUGAUUUAUGCUAAGCUUACUAAUAGUCCAACUUUUGCGAAGAGGUUGGUGAAUAUUUCAGGGAUGAAUGAAUCUUGGGUCACUGCUCGAAUUCAAUAGAAGGGGGAUAGCAAGUGUAUUCCUUGGGAAAAUCUAAGAGAUUUGAUUUUGACUCACCUAGAUGAGAAGAAAAGGGUUGAAAUUUUUGCCUUAAGCAUCUAUAGAUUGGUGAUUUUUCCUAGGGCUUUAAGACAUGUUGAUGAGGCAGUCACUGAUCUGUUUGAUCGUCUCGGGAAAGGAGUCACACCUGUACUUGCAAUACUGGCCGAGACGUUUAGAUCUUUGAGCAUGUGCCGGAAGGCAGGGGAAGGUCGAUUUAUUGGCUGUGCACAGUUGUUAAUGGUAUGGUUUCACGGGCAUUUUUGGAAAGUAGAUAAGGUAUCAUACCAGAUUUUCUCUGAAGGUUACUCCCCGUUAAAAGAAGAGAUAGCAAUGCAAAGGAGAGAUGAUAUUUCGGAAGAGAAAUGGAUGGAAAUUCUCCAAAAUCUCAAGGAAGAUGAUGUAGAGUGGAGGGCUUUCUAAAUGGUUCCUGACGAAGUCUUGUAUCGAUGUGGAAGUUAUAAUUAGGUGCCAUUAUUAGGAAUUUGGGGAGCUACUGGAUAUACUCCUUUACUUGUACUAAGGCAGUAUAAGUCGAGGCAGUUUAUACCUACGACGCACGGGUUGGCCCACUGUGAACUUCUAUAUAAAGGAGACCACUAUAGGAAGAAUGUUCGAGAAUCGUCUGAUGCUUGGAGGCAAAUGCACUGGAUGAAAAGGCUGACUGUUGGUUCUAUAGUAACACUCGAAUAUAAUGGGUGGUUUAGGAAAAGAGUCAAUGACAAUAUUCCAAGACCAAGUUUGGAAAGCGCUCGACCAAUGGAGGAACAGUUACAAGUUGCCUCGUCGGAGUUGGAAAUUAUAAAGCAGGAUUUUGAGAAGAAGAGUUCUGAGUUCGGGAAGAAGAUUGAGCAGUUGAAAGAAGAAAAGAUGCACUUGAAGUUAGAAGUGGAGAUUCAAAAGUCAGAGGCAGAAAAGCUACAGAAAAGGAAGGGUAAAAUUGAGGAAAAUUUGGAAAGUUUGAAAACUGAUUACAAGAAACUGCGCUUAUCAAUGAGGACUGCUGGGCUAGGAAAGACUUCGGAACAAUGGCGUCAAGAGGUUUGAGAAGAAAGGGCUAAGGCAGAUCAAUGGGAAAAGAGGUUCCAGGAGGCUCAAGCUCGGAAAGAAGCUUUAGAAAGAAGUCUAUCAGAGAGUAAGAAUGAGAAGGAUGAACUAAGAGCCAGAGUGGUGGAACUUAAGAGAUCUCUGUGUUUAUACCGAAAUCGUAAUUCUGUGACUGAAUUGAAAGCAAGCUUAAGUAAGAUCGAGGAGAAGAAAGGGAAAAUAGAAAAGUUAGAAACCGCAUUGCAGAGUUGUGAAAUGAGGAUUGAGUUCUUGGAGGCAAAUGAGGAGCAAUGGAAGAAUCAACUUCAUCAAUCUCAAGACCAAGUUAGAAGCAGGGAUUACAUCAUGGGAGAAGCUGUAAUGCAAAUUCGAGAAGUAGCUGACUACUUGCAGUCCUUGGCAGUACAGGUGGACGUAUUAAGUGUGAAGUACGAGCUGGAGUCAGAUAGGGGACAAGAAUUAGCUUCAUUGCUUAGGAAAAUUAAGGCCCAGAGUGUUAGGGCAAAGUCGUAUUUGUAACUCAGUUUUAUGUAAAGAGUUUUAUUUUCUAGUGAAAUUUUCUAAAAGGAAUUGAAUCAGAAUUGGUGCCUCCUUUGCAUUCAUGCAUUUGCAUUACAUUACAUUAUAUGCAUUAAAAAUCAUAAUAAGAUUCUAAUUAAUAAAAAAAUUAUUUCAGUAAUCUGGAAACCAACCAAAACACACCAAAUACGCAUCCCUACGGUACGAGGAAAAAGACUAAGUCAAUGGAAAAAAGACAGGAAAAGUUAGAACAGAUGCAAAAGGAUAUGCAAGAGCAAAUGCAGUCACAAAUGCAAGAACAACUGGUUAAGAUUCAUGUGACAACCCGAAUUAGGGCCUAAUCAGAAUAAUGGUUUUGUGACCACAAAUCCGAGAUAGAAAUAAUUGUUUUAUAAUUAUUUUGGGGUUUAUGAUAUGAUUUCAUGAUUUCAUGAAAAUUUCGUGAUGAAAUUCUAUGCAUUGAGCGCUUAAGUUGAGAUUAGGGACUAAACCGAAUAAAUUGUAAAACUCGUGUUUUAGAAGUUUUUAUUAUGAAAUUGCUUUGGGAUAUUAACUAGGAGGUCUUAAAUAGAAAUUUGACCCAUUCCUAAGUUAUGGACAAAAGUUGGACAUGGAGUGAAUUUUUGGAAAGUUUAGUAGUAAGGGCAUUUUGGUCAUUUGUAUAUUAAAUAAAAUAAAAUGGGAAAAAUAACACAAAAUUGGUCAUCAUCUUCACUAGUUGCUGCCGAAAUUUUCUCUCCUCCAUAGCUAGGGUUUCUUCAACUUUCAAGCUUCAUAGUAAGUGAUUUCAAGCCCCGUUUUUAAUGUUCUUCACAUUUUUAAAAUCCUCGUAGCUCGGUUUACUUAUUUCUACCAUUAUUUCGAGUUAGGGUUUAUGUUUAAAAAUUUACCCAUGAAUGAUAGGCAUGUAUUGUGUUGUUUGAUGGUAGAAUAUGAAUGUUUGAAGUUAGGAGAACGAUCUUUUCUAAGCGAUUUUUAACGAAAACGAGCAAAACGGCAUAAUCGAUAAAAAUACCUAUUGUUCAUAACUAUGUGUUAGAGUGAGAAUUUGAUGUUGCCAUAGAAGAGAAAAAUGAUCAGUAGGUCAUUAAACAUAAUAAUAAGGGCUGAAAUUAAAUUUCCGAGCCUUAGGGAAAAAUCGUAAUUUUGUAAAAGUUAGGGGCAAAAAUGUAAUUUUUGUAUAAUGUGAUUUUUGGAUUAAAAUAAAUAGUUCGAGUGUUAAAUGAGCUAAAUAUGUUGUUAUAGAUCAAGAAAGGCAUGGAAUCGACCUCGAACGGGAGAAGGAGAAAGUUUUGGACUAAAUUGCAAAAUUCCCAUAUUUUGCACCGAGGUAAGUUUGUAUGUAAAUAAUACAUUAAUUUCAUUUACAUUCUUAUUUUUCAGCCUAUUAUAUAUAUAUACUAGCUGAUGUUGAAAUAUAAAUCGACUAUGGAAGAAUGGAAAUAAGUAAUAGAGAGAUCCCGGUUGAACAUUCGGAAAGAUCGAAUAAAAUAGAGGGAGCGUAGCUAGGUCACAUGUAUGGUGCUGAGUGCACAUCAUGUGUACAAGAAAGCUACGAGAUACUAUGUAGUAGCUAGGUCACAUAUGUGAUACGAGAUGUAUCCCUUGUAGACAAGAGAGCUACGUGAGAGAUAAAUGUAACUAGGUCGCAUGCGUGAUUCCAAGUGAAGGACACCAUGUAGACAAGAGAGCUACGAGACAAAUCAGCUAGGUCACAUGAGUGAUACUAAGUGUUCACCAUGUGUAUAAGAGAGCCGAAUUAAAUAAAAUAUGAUGGUGGGGCUGUGUGCUGAAACCAUCAAGUAUCGAGGAUUAAUCCGAAUUGUUCAACGGGAUGGCUUUGUGGUGGCAUUGUACUCAUGGGCCUAUAUUUGUGAUUUAUGAAAUGUGGUGAAAAUGAAUUAUGAUAUAUAUAUAAGUUAAAAUGAGGUUAGUACAAAGAAUGUGUGAAAGAGUGAAAUUAGCAUUAAAACUGUUUUGGACAGUAGCAGUGACUUGAUUUUUAAAAAUCACAAAAAAUAGAAGGAAAGUUAAUUAGAGGUUGAAUGAGAUGUUAAAUUAAAUAUUAAUGAGUCUAUUUUUAUAUAAAAGAAAUAGAGCAAGCAAAGGAAUUCUAUAUUUUGAGAUAUUUACAAUUGUGUGUGACUUGCUCAGGAUGACUAUGUGAUCCCCUGUUCCAACUUUGAAAAAUAAUUAAAAAUUGUACAAAACAAAUUAAGAAAUAUAGUUUAUAUGUCUAAAUUCCUUAUUGAGUCUACUUUUAAAUGAAAUAGGUUUCAUGGUUAUUUGAAUUGUGUACUGAGAGAAAUUUAAUUCGUAGUGAAAAGAGGUCAGAUCAGUUGAGCUGUGUAAUAGGGGAACUUUAACUAAUAAAAUGUAAUAAUUGGCUGAGCCAAAAAUUUUAGAAAAAAAUUAGUAAUAAUUUUUAUGAGUCUAGAUUCAGAAAAAUUUUACGGAUUUGAAUUUCGAGUUUUGUAACUCGAGUUAUGAUUUAUUUAGUGAUCAUGACGCAGGAGGGACAACUUGAUCAAAUCGGAGUAAAUAGUAAAAUUAAAAAUAUGAUAUAAUUGAGUUAUGUUGUAAACAUAUUAGAUUCCUUAUUUGUUAUUUAUAUACUUACUUACUAAGCUAUAAGCUUACUUUCUUUGCUCUCCUUUGUCUUAUAGUGUCAUCCAGCUAGCACAGGAGUUAGAGAUCGUUGAAGAUCCGCCCGCACUAUCAAUACUCUUGGUAUUUGAACUCAACAUUUUGAAAUAUGGCAUGUAUAGCAGACUUAGUUAUUUUGUUACGUGUCAUAAUUGUCUAGGUUUAAAAUACUAAUUAUAGUAUCAAACUAAUCAUUUUCUACGAAGCCUUUGAAAUUGGUUUGUAUUGUUAAUGGCAUAUGUUAUAAUGAUUCAUGAUCAAAUUGUACGCCAUAUUUUUUGUUGGGUUUUAUUUAAUAGUAUAUACUAUAAUUUGUUAAUACCUCGUGCCCUGUUCCAGCGACGGAUACGGGUAAGGGGUGUUACAUUUAGUGGUAUCAGAUCCAUGGUUUAGUCGGUUCUCAGACUAAUAAAGUUUGUGUAAAAGAUCAGCUAUACAUGCCAUAAAAAUAUUGUGAUAGUGCGGUGACUCCUGAUUAUUCUAAACUGUGUUUUGUUUUAAUAUAGUAAUGGAUCCUGAAGGAACUGCGGCUAAUGAUGCUGCUAGUAAUGCGCCGGCUCCCGCACAAGGGACCGCGCCUGUGGAAAGUAGACCUAAGACAUUGAGACAGGGAGAUGAGGCUCGGGAUGCCUUUCUCCAAAUGAUGAACAAUUGGUAUAUUGAGUUUAUUCGAGCAAAUCCAAAUGCUCAACCUCCUCCACCCCCUCCCAUACCUCAGACGGUUCCGUAGCUGCUCAAGGCAUAGAUUUGGUAAGAACGAACAAGCCUCCGGUUGACAAGAUUCGAAAACAAGGGGCCGAAGAGUUUAGAGCAAAGAUCGAUGAUGAUCCUGAGAAAGUGGAGUUCUGGCUUGAAAAUUCUACCCGUGUAUUUGAUGAGCUCUCAUGUACACCCGAGGAGUGCUUAAAGUGUGCUGUAUCACUUUUGAGAGAUUCGGCCUGCCACUGGUGGAAGACUUUGGUACCAGUGGUGCCAAAAGAAAGAGUUACUUGGGAUUUCUUCCAGGAAGAAUUCAGAAACAAAUACAUAAGUCAGUGAUUUAUUGAUCAAAAACGGAAGAAGUUCCUUGAAUUGAAGCAGGGCAAGAUGUCUGUGGCAGAGUAUGAACCCGAAUUUGUAAGACUCAAUAAGUAUGCCCAGGAAUGUGUGUCCACCGAGGCCAUUAUGUGCAGAAGGUUUGAAGAUGGGCUAAAUAAGGACAUUAAAGUGCUUGUGGGAAUUUUGGAGUUGAAAGAAUUUGUAGUAUUGGUUGACCGAGCUCUUAAAGCCGAAGAAUUGAACAAAGAAAGAAGAAAAGCUGCUAUUGAGGCUCGAGAUGCCAGAAAAAGGCCGAUAAGCAAGUCAUUUCAAUCUCAAUCAAAGAGGUCCAAAGAGACAAACCCUCGAAUGAUAGUUUCAAUUGGGGAUUCACACAGAGAUCGUGGUAGAGCAUAUUCGGGGUCUAAAGCUCAAGCUACUUCGGUGGCAAGUAUGGGUAAUGUGCGACCUAGAAAGCCCGAGUGUCAGCAAUGUGGCAGGCAACAUUAUGGUGAGUGUUGGGGAAACGAGCGAGCUUGUUUCAGGUGCGGUUCUCGCGAGCAUUUUAUUAGAGACUGUCCGGAGAAAGUUAAAGAAGAAAGAUUUCAGAGUGCUAGACAGAAUACCACCGCUAGCAGAGGUAGACCACCGAGAAAUAUUAGAGGUGGGACUAGCAGUAAAACUGCGAUGAAAGAUUCAGCGGCAAGAUCAGAAGCUAGAGCGCCUGCUAGAGCUUAUGCUAUACGUGCCCGAGAAGAUGCAUCAUCUCCCGAUGUCAUUACUGAUACAUUUUCUCUCUAUGAUACUAUUGUUAUUGUAUUGAUUGAUCCCGGGUCCACUCAUUCCUAUAAUUGCAUGAAUUUAGUAUCUAACAAAAAGUUGCCUGUUGAGUUUACUGACUUUACAAUUAAAGUGUCGAACCCCUUAGGCCAAUAUGUGCUAGUUGACAAGGUUUGCAAGAAUUGCCCAUUAAUGAUUCAAGGUCACUGUUUUCCGGCUAAUCUGAUGCUGUUACCAUUUGAUGAGUUUGACGUUAUUUUGGGAAUGGACUGGUUGACAUUGUAUGAUGCCAAGGUAGAUUGUAAACAAAAAACACUAGAGUUGAAAUGUGAAAAUGGAGAAAUUCUGUGGGUUGAAACAGAUGAAUCAAAUAAAUUGCCUAUGGUGAUUUCGCACAUGUCUGCACAGAAAUACAUGAGGAAAGGGUGUGAAGCUUAUCUAGCUUAUGUAAUGAAUACUGAUUUGCCUUAACUGAAGUUUGAAUUAGUACCGAUAGUCUGUGAGUUUCCAGAUGUAUUUCCAGAGGAAUUGCCUGGGUUGCCUCCGAACAGAGAGAUAGAGUUUGCCAUUGAUUUGUUGCCGGGUACUGCAUCGAUCUCGAUUGCUCCAUAUAGAAUGGCUCCAACUGAAUUAAAAGAAUUGAAGGCUCAGUUGCAAGAGUUAACAGAUAAGGGAUUUGUGAGACUGAGUUUCUCUCCCUGGGGUGCUCCUGUAUUGUUCGUAAAGAAGAAGGAUGGUUCAAUGAGACUUUGCAUUGAUAAGGUGACUAUAAAGAACAAAUACCCAUUGCCGAGGAUUGAUGAUUUAUUCGAUCAGUUAAAGGGGGCCACAGUGUUUUCAAAGAUCGAUUUGAGGUCUGGUUACUACCAGUUGAGAGUUAAGGAGUCGGAUGUGCCGAAAACUGCCUUUAGGACAAGGUAUGGACAUUAUGAGUUUCUUGUGAUGCUUUCGGCUUAACAAAUGCUCCAGCUAUAUUUAUGGACUCGAUGAACCGGAUCUUUCGGCCAUAUUUGGAUAAGUUUGUAGUAGUGUUUAUGUAACACCCCUUACCCGUAUUCCUUACCGGAACAGAGUAUGAGGUAUUACUAAAUUUUUAAAAAUUUUCGACAGCAUUCCUACUUAUUUUUUUGCUUAAACCUCCUGCAAAUUUAGAACACAUUCCAAUAUACCAACCAAUUUCAUUUGUAUAAACACACAUAUAGUUUAACUAUUAAUAAACACUACAUUUAAAAGGGAACCAUAACAUAUAUUUACAUGAUGAUCCCACAUUACAUAAAGUGUCUAUACAUGCCAUAAAAUUUCGGAACACUAGUAGUAAAAUACCCCAAAUGUGAAGGAUAGUGUAGAUGAUUGUCUGACUUCGUUCCAAUUUCCGAGUUGUUGGAAGUCACUAUAACCAAGAGAAAAAUAAAAUCGAGUAAGCAUAUAGCUUAGUAAGUAAACACAUGAUAAAUAAGUAAUUACUCCCAUAACUACACCAAAAUAUAAACUUAUUCAUGAAUAACUUUAUUGUUUAGGCAAUUUCCAGCAAGCUGUUUUUCUGCGUCAUAGUCGCUAAUUUAUUUUUAUCUGGAGCUACAGGGCUCCAAAUUGAGUUCCGUAAAUUUUUCCUGAAACUAGACUCAUAUACCAUUUCACCAUAAAAAUUUCAGAAUUUUUAACCCAUCCAAUUAGUACAGUUUAUUCAUUAAACCUUCCCCUGUUUCACUGCCCAACGGUUCUGACCCUUCCUCACUAAAAUUUACUUAACUAUCUGUAAAAAAUUUGAAAAAUGGGUUUUCUUGUUUCUAAUAAAAAUAGACUCAAUAAGGAUUCCAGGGAUAUAAAUUUCAUGCCAUAAUUAUUUUUUUACAAUUUUUGGUAAUUUUCCAAAGUUAGAACAGGGGAUCUCGAAAUCAAUCCAGCCCUGUUUUAGUAAAAUUCAGAUAUCUCCAAAAAUACAACUCUUUUGCUUAUUCCAUUUCUUUCAUAUGAAAACAGACAAUCCAGCUUCAAUUUCAUAUAUUAUUCAGCUUCCCAUUCAUUUUCCACCAUUUAUGGUGAUUUUUCAAAGUUACCCAACUGCUGUUGUUCAACACAGUUUAUAAUUAAAUCGUUCCUUUUUCGUUUUUGAUAUUUUCUCCCAUCUCAUACAUGGAUCGAUUUAGUGUCCAACUCAAUAUUUACCCCAUAAAAUUUUCCACCAUAUGGCAAUAUUCACCUUCCACACUUUUUCGUUGAACACUCGGAAUGUUAACCGUUAUUGGUGGAUCUCGCACUUAGCACCACCACUGAAUCGGGGAAUCAUCACUUAGCAACCCCUCGGGGGAAUCAGCACAUAGCAACCCCCUUUUCAUUUCAAAUAUACAAUGGAUAUCGCACUUAGCAACCCCUCGGGGGAAUCAGCACAUAGCAACCCCCUUUCACAUUUCAAAGAUAUGGUGGAUAUCGCACUUAGCACCACCAAUGAACCGGGGAAUCAGCACUUAGCAACCCCUCGGGGGAAUCAGCACAUAGCAACCCCCUUUCACAUUUCAAAGAUAUGGUGGAUCACGCACAUAGCACCACCCAUAAAUCGGGGAAUCAGCACACAGCAACCCCUUUUAUAUACAACAUACUACGGCUUAUUCCGAGUGUUCAACCCAUAACCCAUAUAUUGCAACCCUUUAUCACCUUUCCCGAUUUAACAACAUUUUUAGGAUAUUGCCAAACAUUUAUUUUAAUUCCAAAUAAAUCUCAACAUAUAUCAAAUAAUAUCAAAAUAAUACAUUAAGUCACGUGUUUACUUACCUCGGUGCAAAAUAUCGUAAUUUUGCACUUUACUCCACUAUCUUUUCUUUUCCUCGUUUGAUAUACUCUCCACGUCUUUCUUGAUCUAUAAUAGCAAAUUUAACUCGUUUAAAGUCCACAUUUAUUAAAAUAAUCCACCACCCAACUUUUUGAAAAUUACAAUUUUGCCCCCAAAUUUUUGCAUAAUUACACUUUUGUCCCCAAGCUCGGAAAUUAAUCUUCAUCACUUAUUCUUAAGUUUUAUAACAUGCUAAACAUUUUUCCCUUCUAUGGAAACAUCAAAUUCCCACUCCAACACAUACUUUUGAAUAUCAAUUAUUUUUACCGAUUAUGUCUAUUUACCCGUUUUCGCUUAAAAUUGCUUAGCAAAAGUUGUUUAACAUAAUAUCUAGCUUCAUAUUCCACCAUAAAACAGCAAAAUAAACACAUUUCACCUAUGGAUAUUUUUCCAAAUAUGAACCCUAACAUGAAUUAAUGGUAGAAUAAGCUAAACCAAGUUACCGGGACUCCAAAAAUACGAAGAACAUUAAAAACGGGGCUUAGAAUCACUUACUAUGGAGCUUGAAAGCUUAAAAACCCUAAAUAUGGCUUCCCCCUUGCUGAUUUCGUUCACCAUGAAGAAGAUGAGCAUAUUUUGCCAUCUUUUUCCCAUUUAAUUCUAUUUAAUAACCAAAUGACUAAAAUGCCCCCAUUUAAAAAAAAUCUAUUUCACCCAUUUCUUAUGUCUAUUUUUGUCCAUCAACUAACUAAUGGUCUAAUUACCACAUAAAGACCUCCAAUUUAAAAUUUCAUAACAAUUAGACACCUCUAAGAUGUAGAACUCAACUUUUGCACUAUUUACAAUUUAGUCCUUUUGACUAAAUUGAGUGCCCAAACGUCGAAAUUUUCGAACGAAAUUUUUACGAAAAUUUUCCGUGAAAUUGUAGAUAAUAAAAAUAUAAUAAUAACCAUAUUUUCCCUCGUCGGAUUUGUGGUCCCGAAACCACUAUUCCGACUAGGCCCAGAAUCGGGCUGUUACAACUCUCCCCCCUUAGGGAUUUUCGUCCCCGAAAAUCUUACCGGAAAAGAGGUUUGGGUACUGUUUCCUCAUAAUUUCCUCCGGUUCCCACGUAGCCUCUUCCAUUCCAUGUUUUUGCCACAACACUUUCACUAAGGCUACACUUUUAUUUCUUAACUGUUUGACCUCCCGAGCCAAAAUCUUUAUGGGUUCUUCUUCAUAAGUCAUAUCUGGUCGAACCUCAAUCUCUGUAGGAGAAACUAUAUGUGAAGGAUCCGAACGAUAACGUCGCAACAUCGACACAUGAAAUACAUUAUGUAUCUUUUCCAACUCUGGCGGUAAAGCUAACCGAUAUGCUACAGGGCCAACUCUCUCGGUAACUUCAUAUGGUCCAAUAAAACGUGGACUUAGUUUGCCUUUACGACCAAAUCUCAGAAUCUUCUUCCAUGGGGAUACUUUCAAGAACACUUUAUCACCCACUUGAAACUCAAUUUCUUUUCUCUUUAAAUCCGCAUACGACUUUUGCCGAUCUGAGGCAGCUUUUAGGCAAUCACGGAUUAUUUUCACCUUUUCUUCAGUUUCUUUCACCAGGUCGACUCCAUGAAUCCGAUUCUCACCGAGUUCAGUCCAAUAUAAAGGGGUUCUACAUUUACGCCCAUAUAAUGCUUCAUACGGUGCCAUUUGUAUACUUGACUGAUAACUAUUAUUAUAAGCAAAUUCAACCAGUGGUAGAUAUUUCUCCCAACUGUCCUUCAUUUCUAAAAUACAACACCGGAGCAUGUCUUCAAGAACUUGAAUCACCCUUUCUGAUUGUCCGUCAGUUUGCGGAUGAAAUGCAGUACUGAAAUUCAAUUUCGUACCCAAAGCUUCCUGUAACUUUAUCCAAAACCUCGAAGUAAAUCUCGGAUCUCUAUCCAAUAUAAUAGAUUUAGGCACCCCAUGUAGUCUCACUAUUUCAGCAACAUAUAAUUCAGCCAACCUGUCAAGUGAAUAAUCAAUGCGUAUCGGAAUAAAAUGGGCUGACUUUGUCAAUCUAUCCACAAUUACCCAAAUAGCAUCUUUCUUCUUUGGAGUUAAAGGCAAUCCUGUCACGAAAUCCAUCGUGAUACUGUCCCACUUCCAUUCUGGAAUCGUUAUCGGUUGAAGUAAACCCGAUGGCACUUGAUGCUCAGCCUUCACUUGUUGACAGAUUAAACAUUUUGUUACAAAUUCCGAGAUAUCCUUUUUCAUGCCCGGCCACCAAUACAACUUCCUCAAAUCAUUGUACAUUUUCACACUACCCGAAUGGACUGAUAAAUCACCACUGUGUGCCUCACCUAAAAUAGUCCGAAUUAGCUCAUCAUUUCUCGGUACACAUAUUCUGUCCCUGAACAUCAGGCAAUCAUCUGAACCAAUUUGAAAAUCUGAGUCAACACCUGCUUCACACUGAGCUCUCUUGGCUUGCAAUUUACUGUCAUUCUUUUGAGAUUCCCGAAUUUGCUGAAGAAAUAACGGUCUAGCUCUCAAUUCAACCAACAUUGAGCCAUCAUCAGAUAAAGUUAACAUCGUACCCAUAGCUCUCAAAGCAAAUAAAGAUUUUCUGCUCAAGGCAUCAGCAACCACAUUAGCUUUCCCGGGGUGAUAAUCAAUCACUAGCUCAUAGUCUUUGAUUAGCUCGAGCCAUCUUCGUUGCCGCAAAUUCAAGUCUUUUUGACUCAUCAAAUAUUUCAAACUCUUAUGAUCAGUGAAGAUUCGGCACUUUUCACCAUACAAAUAAUGACGCCAAAUUUUUAAAGCAAAAACAAUGGCAGCCAAUUCUAAAUCAUGCGUCGGAUAAUUCUUCUCAUGCGGUUUCAACUGUCUCGAAGCAUAAGCUAUUACUUUGCCCUCUUGCAUUAACACACACCCAAGGCCAUUCAACGAUGCAUCACUGUAAAUUACAAACUCCUUCCCGGACUCAGGUUGCACCAACACUGGCGCCUCAGUCAAUAAUGCCUUCAACUUUUCAAAACUCUGUUGACAUUUAUCGGUCCAUUCAAACUUGACAUUCUUCUGCAGUAACUUAGUCAUAGGAGAAGCAAUCAUCGAGAAUCCCUAGACAAACCGUCUGUAAUACCCAGCUAAGCCCAGGAAGCUUCUAACUUCAGUCACAUUCUUUGGUGGCUCCCAAUCAACAAUUGCUGAAAUUUUGCUUGGAUCAACCCGAAUACCUUCACUUGAAACUAUAUGUCCCAAGAAUCCAACCUCACGAAGCCAAAACUCACUUUUGCUGAAUUUAGCAUACAAUUUCUUUUCUCUCAGAAUCUGCAACACAGUUCUCAAAUGUUCUGCAUGUUCCGAUUCAUCCCGAGAAUAGAUUAAAAUAUCAUCUAUGAACACCACCACGAACUUGUCUAAGUACAGCCGAAAAAUUCGGUUCAUCAAGUCCAUAAAAAUAGCUGGAGCAUUAGUCAACCCAAAAGGCAUUACCAGAAAUUCAUAGUGUCCAUACCUCGUUCUGAAGGCGGUUUUCGGCACAUCAGACUCUUUAACUCUCAACUGAUAGUAACCAGACCUCAGAUCGAUCUUGGAGAACACUGUUGCCCCUUUUAAUUGAUCAAACAAAUCAUCAAUUCUCGGCAAAGGAUACUUGUUCUUUAUGGUCACCUUAUUGAGCUGACGAUAGUCAAUACAAAGUCUCAUAGAGCCGUCCUUCUUUUUCACAAAUAACACAGGAGCACCCCAAGGAGAAAAACUCGGUCUCACAAAUCCUUUAUCUGUCAACUCUUGUAACUGAGCUUUUAAUUCCUUCAACUCAGUCGGAGCCAUUCGAUACGGUGCAAUAGAAAUCGGUGCAGUAUCAGGUAACAGAUCAAUAGAAAACUCAACUUCUCUAAUCGGAGGUAACCCAGGCAAUUCCUCUGGAAAUACAUCUGGAAAUUCACAGACUACCGGCACUGAUUCAAGCUUCGACCCAGUUAUAUCAGUAUUCAACACAUAAGCAAGAUAAACUUCACAUCCCUUUCUCAAGUAUUUCUGAGCAGACAUGUGCGAAAUCACCAUAGGCAACUUAUUCGGCUCCUCUGUUUCAAUCCGGAGAAUUUCACCAUUUUCACACUUUAAUUCAAGAAUUUUCUGUCUACAAUUCACCUUGGCAUCAUGCAAUAUCAACCAAUCCAUCCCCAAAAUAACAUCGAACUCAUCAAAUGGUAACAACAUCAAAUUAGCCAGGAAACAGUGACCUUGAAUCAUCAGGGGGCAAUUCUUGCAAAUCUUAUCAACUAAGACAUACUUGCCUAAUGGAUUUGAUACUUUAACUACAUAUUCAGUGUUUUCAACAGGCAAUUUCUUACUAGAUACCAAUUUCAUGCAUACAUAUGAAUGAGUAGAGCCGGGAUCAAUCAAAGCAAUAACAUCUAUAUCAUGAAGAGAAAAUGUACCAGUAAUCACAUCGGGAGAUGAGGCAUCCUCUCGAGCACGUAUGGCAUAAGUCCUGGCAGGCGCUCUAAUUUCUGAUCCUCCAGCUGCAUCUUUCAUCACACUUUUACCACUGACUUUGCUUCCCACAUUUCUCGGCGGUCUCCCUCUACUAACAAUAUCACUCGAUCCAGCUCUUGGCAAAUUUUCUUCCUCUCUUCUCUCAGGGCAAUCUCUUACAUAAUGCUCUUGGGAACCACACCUGAAACAAGCUCGUUUAAAUCCCCAACACUCACCAAUAUGUCGCCUGCCACACUGUUGACAUUCAGGCCGGGUGUUUCCUACAUUGCCCACACUUGCUACAGAGGUAGCUCGAGUUGUAGCUCCAGAAUACGACCUCCCUCGGUCUCUGCGUGAAUACCCAACUGAACCAGUUGGUCGUGGAUCCAUCCCUUUAAACUUCUUCGAAUGAGAUUGAAAUGUUCUGCCCAUUGUCCUCUUCCUUACAUCUCGAGAUUCCAUCUCUGCCCUUCUCUUUUCUCUACUCAGUUCUUCAGCUUUACAGGCCCGAUCAACUAACACCACAAAUUCUUUUAACUCUAAAAUCCCAACAUGCAAUCUGAUGUCUUCAUUUAGCCCCUCUUCAAAUCUUUUACACAUAAUAGCCUCCGUAGGCACACAUUCCUGGGCAUAUUUACUAAGCCGAACAAACUCCCGUUCAUAUUCUGCUACGGACAUUCGGCCCUGUUUCAACCCGAGAAACUCUUUGCGUUUUUGAUCAAUAAAUCGUUGGCUUACAUAUUUCUUUCUAAAUUCUUCCUGAAAGAAGUCCCAAGUAACUCUUUCUUUUGGAACCACCGAUAUCAAUGUUUUCCACCAACGAUAUGCCGAAUCCUUCAAUAAAGACACAGCACAUUUCAAACAUUCUUCAGGGGUGCAAGAUAAUUCAUCAAAUACCCGAAUAGUAUUUUCAAGCCAAAACUCGGCUUUUUCCGGAUCAUCAUCAACAUUGGCCCUAAAAUCUUCAGCCCCAUGCUUUCGAAUUCUAUCAACAGGUGGCUUACUUGAUCUCACCAAUUCGGCACUCCGUGGAGCUACGGGGACCGGUUGAGGAAUAGGAGGGGGUGGAGGAGGAGGAACAUUCGGAUUUACACGGACAUAUUUUAUAUACCAAUCACUCAUCAUUCGGAGGAAGGCUUCCCGAGCCUCAUCCUGUCCAUGUGUCUCAUGUCUACUCUCUUCCUGCGCGGUCCCUUGCGCGAGAGCCGGCGCGUUACUUUCAACAUCAUCUGCCACACUUCGAUCAGGAUCCAUUUACUAUAUAAAACAAAAUUUUAAAUUGUCAGAAAUCAUCACACUAUCACAAUAAUUUUAUGGCAUGUAUAGACUGACUUCCACACGUAUUUUAUUGGUCCGAGAACCGACUAAACCGUAGCUCUGAUACCACUAAAAUGUAACACCCCUUACCCGUAUUCCUUACCGGAACAGAGUAUGAGGUAUUACUAAAUUUUUAAAAAUUUUCGACAGCAUUCCUACUUAUUUUUUUGCUUAAACCUCCUGCAAAUUUAGAACACAUUCCAAUAUACCAACCAAUUUCAUUUGUAUAAACACACAUAUAGUUUAACUAUUAAUAAACACUACAUUUAAAAGGGAACCAUAACAUAUAUUUACAUGAUGAUCCCACAUUACAUAAAGUGUCUAUACAUGCCAUAAAAUUUCGGAACACUAGUAGUAAAAUACCCCAAAUGUGAAGGAUAGUGUAGAUGAUUGUCUGACUUCGUUCCAAUUUCCGAGUUGUUGGAAGUCACUAUAACCAAGAGAAAAAUAAAAUCGAGUAAGCAUAUAGCUUAGUAAGUAAACACAUGAUAAAUAAGUAAUUACUCCCAUAACUACACCAAAAUAUAAACUUAUUCAUGAAUAACUUUAUUGUUUAGGCAAUUUCCAGCAAGCUGUUUUUCUGCGUCAUAGUCGCUAAUUUAUUUUUAUCUGGAGCUACAGGGCUCCAAAUUGAGUUCCGUGAAUUUUUUCUGAAACUAGACUCAUAUACCAUUUCACUAUAAAAAUUUCAGAAUUUUUAACCCAGCCAAUUAGUACAGUUUAUUCAUUAAACCUUCCCCUGUUUCACUGCCCAAUGGUUCUGACCCUUCCUCACUAAAAUUUACUUAACUCUCUGUAAAAAAAUUGAAAAAUGGGUUUUCUUGUUUCUAAUAAAAAUAGACUCAAUAAGGAUUCCAGGGAUAUAAAUUUCAUGCCAUAAUUAUUUUUUUACAAUUUUUGGUAAUUUUCCAAAGUUAGAACAGGGGAUCUCGAAAUCAAUCCAGCCCUGUUUUAGUAAAAUUCAGAUAUCUCCAAAAAUACAACUCUUUUGCUUAUUCUAUUUCUUUCAUAUGAAAACAGACAAUCCAGCUUCAAUUUCAUAUAUUAUUCAGCUUCCCAUUCAUUUUCCACCAUUUAUGGUGAUUUUUCAAAGUUACCCAACUGCUGUUGUUCAACACAGUUUAUAAUUAAAUCGUUCCUUUUUCGUUUUUGAUAUUUUCUCCCAUCUCAUACAUGGAUCGAUUUAGUGUCCAACUCAAUAUUUACCCCAUAAAAUUUUCCACCAUAUGGCAAUAUUCACCUUCCACACUUUUUCGUUGAACACUCGGAAUGUUAACCGUUAUUGGUGGAUCUCGCACUUAGCACCACCACUGAAUCGGGGAAUCAUCACUUAGCAACCCCUCGGGGGAAUCAGCACAUAGCAACCCCCUUUUCAUUUCAAAUAUACAAUGGAUAUCGCACUUAGCAACCCCUCGGGGGAAUCAGCACAUAGCAACCCCCUUUCACAUUUCAAAGAUAUGGUGGAUAUCGCACUUAGCACCACCAAUGAACCGGGGAAUCAGCACUUAGCAACCCCUCGGGGGAAUCAGCACAUAGCAACCCCCUUUCACAUUUCAAAGAUAUGGUGGAUCACGCACAUAGCACCACCCAUAAAUUGGGGAAUCAGCACACAGCAACCCCUUUUAUAUACAACAUACUACGGCUUAUUCCGAGUGUUCAACCCAUAACCCAUAUAUUGCAACCCUUUAUCACUUUUCCCGAUUUAACAACAUUUUUAGGAUAUUGCCAAACAUUUAUUUUAAUUCCAAAUAAAUCUCAACAUAUAUCAAAUAAUAUCAAAAUAAUACAUUAAGUCACGUGUUUACUUACCUCGGUGCAAAAUAUCGUAAUUUUGCACUUUACUCCACUAUCUUUUCUUUUCCUCGUUUGAUAUACUCUUCACGUCUUUCUUGAUCUAUAAUAGCAAAUUUAACUCGUUUAAAGUCCACAUUUAUUAAAAUAAUCCACCACCCAACUUUUUGAAAAUUACAAUUUUGCCCCCAAACUUUUGCAUAAUUACACUUUUGUCCCCAAGCUCGGAAAUUAAUCUUCAUCACUUAUUCUUAAGUUUUAUAACAUGCUAAACAUUUUUCCCUUCUAUGGAAACAUCAAAUUCCCACUCCAACACAUACUUUUGAAUAUUAAUUAUUUUUACCGAUUAUGUCUAUUUACCCGUUUUCGCUUAAAAUUGCUUAGCAAAAGUUGUUUAACAUAAUAUCUAGCUUCAUAUUCCACCAUAAAACAGCAAAAUAAACACAUUUCACCUAUGGAUAUUUUUCCAAAUAUGAACCCUAACAUGAAUUAAUGGUAGAAUAAGCUAAACCAAGUUACCGGGACUCCAAAAAUACGAAGAACAUUAAAAACGGGGCUUAGAAUCACUUACUAUGGAGCUUGAAAGCUUAAAAACCCUAAAUAUGGCUUCCCCCUUGCUGAUUUCGUUCACCAUGAAGAAGAUGAGCAUAUUUUGCCAUCUUUUUCCCAUUUAAUUCUAUUUAAUAACCAAAUGACUAAAAUGCCCCCAUUUAAAAAAAAUCUAUUUCACCCAUUUCUUAUGUCUAUUUUUGUCCAUCAACUAACUAAUGGUCUAAUUACCACAUAAAGACCUCCAAUUUAAAAUUUCAUAACAAUUAGACACCUCUAAGAUGUAGAACUCAACUUUUGCACUAUUUACAAUUUAGUCCUUUUGACUAAAUUGAGUGCCCAAACGUCGAAAUUUUCGAACGAAAUUUUUACGAAAAUUUUCCGUGAAAUUGUAGAUAAUAAAAAUAUAAUAAUAACCAUAUUUUCCCUCGUCGGAUUUGUGGUCCCGAAACCACUAUUCCGACUAGGCCCAGAAUCGGGCUGUUACAGUUUAUAGAUGACAUUCUAAUUUAUUCUCGAGAUGAGUCUGAACAUGCCGAACACUUGAGAACCAUAUUGCAGAUCUUGAGAGAAAAGAAACUGUUUACUAAGUUUAGUAAAAGUUAAUUCUAGCUUCGUGAAGUCAGAUUUUUGGGACAUAUAGUCUCAGGUGAUGGUAUUCGGGUGGAUCCAAGCAAGAUUUCCACGAUCAUUGAUUGGAAACCGCCAAAGAAUGUAUCCAAGGUUAGAAGCAUUUUAGGCUUGGCCAGGUAUUAUAGACGUUUUGUUGAGGGAUUUUCGAUGAUUGCCUCUCCUAUGACUAAGUUGUUGCAAAAGAAUGUUAAGUUUGAAUGGACUGAUAAAUGUCAGCAGAGUUUUGAAAACUUGAAAGCACGAUUGACUGAAGCACUAAUUUUAGUACAGCCCGAGCCAGGAAAGGAGUUCGUAAUUUAUAGUGAUGCAUCAUUGACAUGCCUUGGAUGUGUGUUGAUGCAAGAGGGUAAAGUGGUAGCUUAUGCUUCGAGACAGUUAAAACCGCAUGAGAAGAACUAUCCUACACAUGAUUUGGAAUUGGCCGCUAUUGCCUUUGCCUUGAAGAUUUAGUGACAUUAUUUGCAUGGUGAAAAAUGUCGAAUUUUUAUUGAUCAUAAAAGUUUGAAGUAUUUGAUGAAUCAAAAGGAUUUGAAUCUGUGACAGCGGAGAUGGCUUGAAUUAUUAAAGGAUUAUGAGCUAGUGAUUGAUUAUCAUCCGGGAAAAGCAAAUGUAGUUGCUGACGCAUUGAGCAGGAAAUUUCUUUUUACUUUGAUAGCCAUGAAUACGGGGUUAGCAUUGUCUGAUGAUGGGUCAAUCUUAGCAGAGAUGAGUGCUAAACCGUUAUUUCUCCAGCUGAUUUGUGAUGCUUAAAAAAACGAUAGUGAGUUGUGAAUCAAGAGAACUCAAUACAAAUCAGGUUACGACUCAGAUUUUCGAGUUGGACCAGACGACUGUUUGAUGUUUCGAGACAGGAUAUGUGUACCAAAAAACGAUGAAUUGAUUCAGAAAAUAUUACAUGAGGCGCACAGUGGCUGUUUAUCAGUUCACCCUGGUAGCACAAAAAUGUAUAAUGAUUUAAAGAAGUUGUAUUGGUGGCCAGGUAUGAAAAGGGACAUUUCUGAAUUUGUAACCAAGUGUUUGAUCUGUCAACAAGUAAAAGCUGAACAUCAAGUGCCUUCAGGACUACUUCAACCGGUAAUGGUGCCUGAGUGGAAAUGGGACAAGAUUACCAUGGAUUUUGUAACCGGUUUGCCUUUGACUCCUAAAAAGAAGGAUGCUGUCUGGGUAGUGGUUGAUAGAUUAACAAAGUCAACCCACUUUAUACCAGUACUUACCGAUUACUCACUUGAUAAAUUAGCUGAAUUAUAUAUUGCUGAAAUUGUGAGGUUGCACGGAGUACCUAUGUCUAUAAUAUCAGAUAGAGAUCCGAGAUUUACCUCGAGAUUUUGGAAAAAGUUACAAGAAGCUUUGGGUACAAAAUUGAACUUUAGUACCGCGUUUCAUCCACAAACAAAUGGUCAGUCGGAAAGAGUAAUCCAGGUACUCGAGGAUAUGCUUAGAUGUUGUGUUUUAGAAUUUGGAGGUAGUUGGGAGAAAUAUCUAUCUUUGAUUGAAUUUGCCUACAAUAAUAGUUAUUAGUCAAGUAUACAAAUGGCACCGUACGAAGCCUUGUAUGGUCGCAAGUGUCAAACUCCUUUAUAUUGGACCAAACAUAGUGAGAAACAGAUUCACGGAAUUGAUCUAGUUAAAGAAACCGAAGAGAAAAUAAAAGUAAUUCGGGAUUGCUUGAAAGCUGCUUCAGAUCGACAAAAGUCAUAUGCAGAUUUAAAAAGAAAAGAUAUUGAAUAUCAGGUGGGUGAUAAAGUGUUCUUGAAGGUGUCACCAUGGAAAAAGAUUCUGAGAUUUAGCCGAAAAGGUAAGUUGAGUCCGCGUUUUAUUGGGCCGUACGAGAUUACUGAGAGGAUUGGACCAGUGGCAUAUCAGUUGGCCUUACCGGCAGAGUUAGAAAGAAUUCAUAACGUGUUUCAUGUAUCAAUGUUGCGACGUUAUCGUUCUGAUCCUUCACAUGUGAUUUCUCCAACAGAAAUUGAGAUUCGACUGGAUAUGACCUAUGAGGAGGAACCAAUAAAGAUUUUGGCUCGGGAAAUUAAAUAGUUAAGAAAUAAAAGUAUAGCCUUAGUGAAAGUAUUGUGGCACAGACAUGGGAUAGAAGAGGCUAUGUAGGAACCUGAAGAAGCUAUGAGGAAACAGUACCCGAACCUCUUUACCGGUAAGAUUUUCGGGGACGAAAAUCUCUAAAGGGGGGAGAAUUGUGACAACCCGAAUUACGGCCUAAUCAGAAUAGUGGUUUUGUGACCACAAAUCCGAGAUAGAAAUAAUUGUUUUAUAAUUAUUUUGGGGUUUAUCAUAUGAUUUCAUGAUUUCGUGAAAAUUUCGUGAUGAAAUUCUAUGCAUUGAGCGCUUAAGUUGAGAUUAGGGACUAAACCGAAUAAAUUGUAAAACUCGUGUUUUAGAAGUUUUUAGUAUGAAAUUGCUUUGGGAUAUUAACUAGGAGGUCUUAAAUAGAAAUUUGACCCAUUCCUAAGUUAUGGACAAAAGUUGGACAUGGAGGGAAUUUUUGGAAAGUUUAGUAGUAAGGGCAUUUUGGUCAUUUGUAUAUUAAAUGAAAUAAAAUAGGAAAAAUAACACAAAAUUGGUCAUCAUCUUCACUAGUUGCUGCCGAAAUUUGCUCUCCUCCAUAGCUAGGAUUUCUUCAACUUUCAAGCUUCAUAGUAAGUGAUUUCAAGCCCCGUUUUUAAUGUUCUUCACAUUUUUGAAAUCCUCGUAGCUCGGUUUACUUAUUUCUACCAUUAUUUUGAGUUAGGGUUUAUGUUUAAAAAUUUACCCAUGAAUGAUAGGCAUGUAUUGUGUUGUUUGAUGGUAGAAUAUGAAUGUUUGAAGUUAGGAGAACGAUCUUUGCUAAGCGAUUUUUAACGAAAACGAGCAAAACGGCAUAAUCGAUAAAAAUACCUAUUGUUCAUAACUAUGUGUUAGAGUGAGAAUUUGAUGUUGCCAUAGAAGAGAAAAAUGAUUAGUAGGUCAUUAAACAUAAGAAUAAGGGCUGAAAUUAAAUUUUCGAGCCUUGGGGCAAAAUCGUAAUUUUGCCUCGAACGGGAGAUGGAGAAAGUUUUGGACUAAAUUGUAAAAUUCCCAUAUUUUGCACCGAGGUAAGUUUGUAUGUAAAUAAUACAUUAAUUUCAUUUACAUUCUUAUAUUUCAGCCUAUUAUAUAUAUACUAGCUGAUGUUGAAGUAUAAAUUGGCUGUGGAAGAAUGGAAAUAAGUAAUAGAGAGAGAGCUCCCGGUUGAACAUUCGGAAAGAUCGAAUAAAACAGAGGGAGCGUAGCUAGGUCACAUGUAUGGUGCUGAGUGCACAUCAUGUGUACAAGAAAGCUACGAGAUACUAUGUAGUAGCUAGGUCACAUGUGUAAUACGAGAUGUAUCCCAUGUAGACAAGAGAGCUACGUGAGAGAUAAAUGUAGCUAGGUCGCAUGCGUGAUUCCAAGUGAAGGACACCAUGUAGACAAGAGAGCUACGAGACAAAUUGGCUAAGUCGCAUGAGUGAUACUAAGUGUUCACCAUGUGUACAAGAGAGCCGAAUUAAAUAAAAUAUGAUGGUGGGGCUGUGUGCUGAAACCAUCAAGUAUCGAGGAUUAAUCUGAAUUGUUCAACGGGAUGGCUUUGUGGUGACAUUGUAGUCAUGGGCCUAUACUUGUUAUGUAUGAAAUGUGGUGAAAAUGAAUUGAUAUAUAUAUAUAUAUAUAUAUAUAUAAGUUAAAAUGAGGUUAGUACAAAGAAUGUGUGAAAGAGUGAAAUUAGCAUUAAAACUGUUUUGGACAGUAGCAGUGAUGUGAUUUUUAAAAAUCACCAAAAAUAGAAGGAAAUUUAAUUAUAGGUUGAAUUAGAUGUGAAAUUAAACCUUAAUGAGUCUAUUUUCAUAUAAAAGAAACAGAGCAAGCAAAUGAAUUCUAUAUUUUGAGAUAUUUACAAUUGUGUGUGACUUGCUCAGGAUGACUAUGUGAUCCCCUGUUCCAACUUUGAAAAAUCAUUAAAAAUUGUACAAAAAAAAUUAAGAAAUAUAGUUUAUAUUCCUAAAUUCCUUAUUGAUUCUAGGUUUAAAUGAAAUAAGUUUUAUGGUUAUUUGAAUUGUGUAUUGAGAGAAAUUCAAUUCGUAGUGAACAGAGGUCAGAUCAAUUGAGCUGUGUAACAGGGGAAACUUUAACUAAUAAACUGUAUUAAUUGGCUAAACCAAAAAUUAUAGAAAAUAAUUACUAAUAAUUUUUAUGAGUCUAGAUUCAGGGAAAUUUUACGGAUUUGAAUUUCGAGUUUUGUAACUCGAGUUAUGAUUUAUUUAGUAAUCAUGAUGCAGGAGGGACAACUUGAUCAAAUCGGAGUAAAUAGUAAAAUUAAAAAUAUGAUAUAAUUGAGUUAUGUUGUAAACAUAUUAGAUUCCUUAUUUGUUAUUUAUAUACUUACUUACUAAGCUAUAAGCUUACUUUCUUUUCUCUCCUUUGUCUUAUAGUGUCAUCCAGCUAGCACAGGAGUUAGAGAUCGUUGAAGAUCCGCCCGCACUAUCAAUACUCUUGGUAUUUGAACUCAACAUUUUGAAAUAUGGCAUGUAUAGCAAACUUAGUUAUUUUGUUACGUGUCAUAAUUGUCUAGGUUUAAAAUACUAAUUAUAGUAUCAAACUAAUCAUUUUGUACGAAGCCUUUGAAAUUGGUUUGUAUUGUUAAUGGCAUAUGUUAUAAUGAUUCAUGAUCAAAUUGCACGCCAUAUUUUUGGUUGGGUUUUAUUUAAUAGUAUAUACUAUAAUUUGUUAAUACCUCGUACCCCGUUCCGGCGACGGAUACGGGUAAGGGGUGUUACAAUUCAGCAAGAGAUGAAGGAACAGAUGAUGGAGUCUCAAAGAGAGAUGAUGAGUCAGUUGUCCCAAUUGCUGAUGGGAAGAAUGGAUAAGGGAAAAGGUCCAAUGGAUAAUAUGGGAGAAAGUAAUGAAGACCCCCAAUAUCCUCCUGGCUUCACUCCUGCACAUAUGCAGAUGCAACCAGAGAUUAAUUUGCAAAAGCCAUCUGUUACAAUCAGGCCUCAGCAGUUUCAAGCCGGGGUUUCGGUUCCAAUGAAUUUUCAAGCUGGUUCAAGUUAUAAUCCUGGUAAUAAUUCACAUAAUCCAAUGGUCCCUGAUUUGGAUGAAGUUGCAAAAGAGGAAAGAGCAAAAGCAGAAUCGCAAAGGCAGUUAGAAGAACGGUGCAAAUGGCUGGAGGAAAAGGUCAGAGCAAUGGAAGGUGGUGAUAGACACCCUGGGAUUGAUGCAAAGGAUCUGAGUUUGGUCCUAGACUUAGUACUGCCAUACAAGUUCAGGAUGCCAGAAUUUGAGAAAUACAAUGGAACGAGCUUUCCUGAAGCUCAUAUCACUAUGUUUUGCAGAAGGAUGACAGGGUAUGUUCAUAAUGAUCAAUUGCUGAUUCAUUGCUUCUAAGAUAGCCUGGUGGGAGUAGCUGCUAAAUGGUACAAUCAUUUGAAUCGAAACAGAAUUAGUUCAUGGAGAGAUUUAGCAUAGGCAUUCAUGAAGCAAUACAGCCAUGUGACAGAUAUAAUUCCCGAAAGAAUUACUCUGCAGAAUAUGGAGAAGAAGCCAAAUGAAAGUUUUAAGCAGUAUGUGCAGAGGUGGAGGGAAAUGGCCAUUCAAGUUUAGCCACCGCUCCUGGAGAAAGAAACUACGAUGCUCUUUAUUAACACCUUAAAGGCCCCGUUUAUAACUCAUAUGCUAGGAAGUGCCACGAGAAGCUUUGCGGAUGUGGUCAUGACAGGAGAAAUGAUUGAAAAUGCCAUAAAAAUGGAAGGAUAGACGCGGGAGAAAGUGCUAAAAGGUCUGUGCCACGGAAGAAAGAGAAUGAGGUGAACAAUGCGAACAUGGGAUAUUUGAAGUCUAUUACUGUGAGUCAACCAAAAGUGACAACUGUCGGACAAGGUUCAUCACGGCAAGAGUCAGGGACCAGGCAGAAUAAUGAGAAGAUUCAAUUUACACCAAUUCCUAUGACAUACAAAGAAUUAUAUCAAAGUUUGUUCGAUGCACAUGUGGUGGCACCUUUUUACUUAAAGCCAAUACAGCCUCCGUUCCCUAAAUGGUACGAUGCUAAUGCCCAACGUGAGUAUCACGCAGGAAUUGUGGGUCAUUCGAUAGAAAAUUGCACCACUUUUAAGAAGCUAGUUAAGAGAUUUAUCCAGAUGGGUAUUGUGAAAUUUGAUAAUGUGCCCAGCACUGAAAAUCCACUGCCUAAUCAUACAGAUGGAGGGGCAAAUGCGAUAGAUGGACGAUUUGGAAAAAGGACCAAGAGGAAUGUUUUGGAAGUAAAAACUCCUUUGAGGCGAGUUUGGAAGGAGAUGGCAAGAAGGGGAUUAGUUACUUCAAGCACAGAAGGAAAUGAUAAUGGGAUGAAAAAUUAUUGUGAUUACCAUCAUGAAGAAGGACACAGAAUUCAGGAAUGUGAAAAAUUUAGAGCUGUUAUUCAGGGUCUGAUGGACAACAAGGAAAUGGAGUUUUAUGAGAAGGACAAUGAGGAAGAGUAUAUAUGUGCUUCAGAGUCCACAUCAAGACCAAGAACAAAUUAUCCUGUGGUUAUUAUCUCGCGUCCUAAGAAUGAAGCAGGAGUUCAAAUGGCGCCAAAGGUUAUAAUUCAGAAGCCAGCAGUUUUUUCUUACAAUGAUAGUAAAUAGGUGCCCUAGAACUAUGAAUGUAAUGUGACAAUCCUGGGAAAAGAAGGUGCAAUUAGCCCGUUAAAGGAGGAUCAAAAUAUAGGUUCUCAUACACGCAGUGGAAGGCGAUAUGAUACCCGAACAGAACGGGUGAAAGAAAGAGAGGUGCUGGUUGAGCAAAAGAAAGGAAAAGCAGUUGAGCUUGAUGUGCUUGUUAAUGAACCAGUGAAAGAAGAAGAAGCUAAGGAAUUCUUGAAAUUUCUGAAACAUAGCGAGUACAGUGUGGUGGAGUAGUUGCGUAAAUAGCCGGCCCGCAUAUCUAUAUUGGCUCUACUCCUGAGUUCAGAGAUGCAUCUGAGUGCAUUGAUGAAGGUGCUAAAUGAGACAUAUGUAACCAAUGAUAUUUCUGUCAGUAAGCUGGAUUGGUUGGUUAACAACAUAAGUGCAGACAACUUUAUCUUUUUCAAUGAUGAUGAGAUUCCACUAGGAGGGAUGGGAUCUACCAAAGCUUUGCAUAUAACUACCAGACGUAAAGGAUACACGCUGCCAGGGGUAUUGGUAGAUAACGAUUCAGCAUUGAAUGUGUUGCCUUUGUCCACACUGAACAAGUUACUUGUGGAUAGUUCUCAUAUGAAAGGAUGUCAGAAUAUAGUACGAGCAUUUGAUGGCACAGAGAGGAGAGUCAUGGGGAGAAUUGAGGUACCCUUGUUAAUUGGCCCAACCACGUAUGAGGUAGAUUUUCUAGUAAUGGAUAUUAAGUCCUCUUACAACUGCUUGUUGGAAAGACCUUGGAUACACCCAGCAAGGGCAGUACCUUAAUCAUUACAUCAAAAGCUGAAGCUAGUGUCAGAGGGGCGGUUGCUAACAAUAAAUGCUGAAUAAGAUAUUAUCGUGACCAUAAGCAGUCAUGCGCCUUAUGUAGAAACAGAUGAGGAAGCUAUUGAGUGUUCUUUUCGGUCUUUGGAGUUUGUAAAUGCAACAUUCAUCACUGAGGGAAGUAGAAUUCUGAAGCCCCAAAUGUCCAAAACUACUAUGAUGGGUUUACAGUUGAUGGUAGGCCGGGGAGCUGUACCAGGAAAAGGACAUGGAAGAUGCCUUCAAGGAGGAAUUGUAGUUCCAAUGCUGAAAGACAAACAGGAUCGUUUUGGUUUGGGGUUCAAGCUAGAUGCAAGACAAAGGAAGAAGGAACUAGAAAGAAGACAAGAAAGAAGAAAAGCACGAGUGAGUGGUGGGGAAAUCAAAUGGGAACCCAUGAUAAUUCCUCAUAUCUCCAAGACUUUUGUGUCAGGGGGCAUUAUUUAUCCUGAACGGGGGAUGUUGGAGAAAGAAAGCAUGGAAGAAGCAUUGGGAGAUAUGUACAUCAAUGCCAUAUCUGAGGAGACAAUUGAAGAGGGGAUUUCGUCAAAUAUUCGUCCAUAUGAGCCCGGGAGUGUUCUAAACAAUUGGACUGCAGAAGAUCUUCCUGUAGUUUUUAGAGCUUACUUAGAGUAAUGUUCGAAACAAACUUGUUGUUUUAAGCCUAGAAACAAUAAAUAUUUCUUUGUGAAAUAGGCUCAUGUUCAAACAUCAUUAUUUCUAUGAAGUACAUUUUUUGCUAUCAUUUUGAGUAAAUGUUGUUCGUUUCAUAAGCAAUUGUGUUAAUUCUUUCUAUCUAAAUAAUUAUCUUGAUUAUUUCUUCAACUAUUCUCUUGUUCAUAAACAUAUCAUACAAAGCAAUAAUUACCAAAUUCAUUCAUUCUUUGUAUAUUUCUAUACAUUUAAUAGGUCCCUAGAUAUCAAUGUCAUGAGCGACGCUAUUACUGACUCAGAAUCACUAUUUGAGCGAGACAUGUGUUUAGAGGGAUCUCAAGACUUUGAAAAUGACAGAGAUUGUGAUUUAUCUCCAGAUUUGUUAAGGAUGGUAGAAUAAGAGGAAAAGCAAAUUUUGCCUCACAAAGAAACCGUAGACAUGGUGACUUUGGAGGAGGGGAAAGUUGUAAAAAUUGGAACAUGCAUAACUGAAGAAAAAAAGCGAGACCUUGUUGGGUUACUUCAGGAAUUCAAAGAUGUUUUUACAUGGUCAUACCAGGAUAUGCCCUGUUUAAGUCUUAACAUUGCGGUGCAUUGUCUUCCCAUAAGAGAAGAUUGCAAGCCAGUAUAGCAGAAGCUUCAACGAAUGAGGCCAGAUAUCGUCUUAAAGAUCAAUGAGGAAGUCAAAAAGUAGUUUGAUGCAGGAUUCCUUCAGGUGAUCAAGUACUCAGAAUGGGUAGCCAAUGUUGUGCCUAUUCCCAAGAAAGAUGGCAAGGUGCGAAUGUGUGUGGACUAUAGAGAUCUAAAUAAAGUGUGAGCCCAAAGGACAACUUCCCUUUGCCUCACAUUGAUACACUAGUGGAUAAUACGGCUGGUUACUCAUUGUUUUCCUUCAUGGAUGGUUUCUCGGGGUAUAAUCAGAUCAAGAUGCAUCCUGAGGACAUGGGAAAGACUACUUUUAUAACAUUGUGGGGCACGUUCUGUUACAAGGUAAUGCCAUUUGGAUUGAAGAAUGGUGGAGCGACAUAUCAGAGAGCUAUGAUAACUUUAUUCCAUGAUAUGAUGCACAAAGAAAUUGAAGUGUAUGUUGACGACAUGAUAGCCAAAUCUCGAACUGAAAGGGAACAUAUUGAAGUAUUAAGAAAGUUGUUCAUGAGAUUGAGAAAGUUUCAGUUAAUGCUUAAUCUCACGAAGUGUACUUUUGGGGCUAGAUCCGGAAAGCUAUUGGGCUUUGUGGUUAGUGAGAAGGGAAUUGAGGUUGAUUCAGACAAGGUCCGGGCUAUACAAGAGUUGUCUCCACCACGUACCUAAAAAGAAGUUCGGUGUUUCCUCGGAAGAUUAAAUUACAUUGCGCGGUUUAUUUCUCAAUUAAUGGAGAAGUGUGACCCUAUAUUCCGUCUUUUUAAAAAGCAUAACCCAGGGGAAUGGGAUGAUUAAUGUCAAAAGGCUUUUGAUAAAGUUAAAGAAUAUUUGUCAAGUCCUCUAUUGUUAUCACCCCCAAGUUCAGACAGGCCGUUGAUAUUGUAUUUGACCAUGUUUGGUAAUUCAAUGGGAUGUGUGCUUGGUCAACAUGACGAAUCAGGAAGAAAGGAAAAGGCGAUAUAUUACCUCAGUAAGAAAUUCACUGAAUGUGAGUUGAGAUAUUCGCCAAUUGAAAAAUUGUGUUGUGCUUUGGUUUGGACAACACGAAGAUUGAGGCAAUAUAUGCUGUAUCAUACAACCUGGCUAAUCUCAAAAUUGGAUCAUUUAAAGUAUAUGAUGGAAUCAAAUGCCUUGAAUGGAAGGAUGGCUAGGUGGAAAAUUUUGCUUUCUGAAUUUGACAUAAUUUACAUGAGUCAAAAAGCUGUAAAGGGGAGUGCAAUAGCAAAUUUUCUGGCUAGCCGAGCUUUAGAAGAUUAUGAACCUUUGAAUUUUGAUUUCCCUAAUGAAGAGAUAGUGUAUGUGGCGGCUGCUGAAGAGGACAACACAAAAGGUAACUGUUGGAAAUUGAAUUUUGACGGAGCCUCAAAUGUUGUGGGUAAUGGAGUUGGGGCAGUUCUAGUAUCCCCAGAUGGAGAUCAUUAUCCAUUCACAUGUAAAUUGGAUUUUGAUUGUAGGAAUAAUAUGGUAGAAUAUGAAGCAUGUAUCAUGGGGCUGAGAGCAGCUAUAGAACGCAAGAUCAAAUCAUUGGAAGUAUAUGGUGAUUAUGCAUUGGUGAUUUAUCAACUUCGAGGUGAAUGGGAGACAAGAGACGCUAAGCUAAUCAAUUAUAGAAGGUUGGUUUUGGGGUUAGUUGAAGAGUUUGAUGAUAUUACUUUUAAUUAUCUCUCGCGUAAUGAAAACCAAAUGACAGAUGCUUUGACUACUUUGGCUUCCAUGAUCAAAGUAAGCAAACAGGAUGAUAUGAAGCCCAUUCGGAUGAGUAUUUAUGAAGCCCCGUCUUAUUGUUAUAAUAUAGAGGAAGAAGAAAGAGAUGAUCAUCCUUGGUAUUAGGAUAUAUUGCGGUAUGUGAGAAAUCGUGAGUAUCCGGAUCAAGCCACGGAUAAUGACAAAAGAACAUUGAGAAGGCUCGCUUGUGAUUAUGUUUUAGAUGGAGAGAUCUUAUACAAAAGAAGGAAAGAUCAGGUACUUUUGAGAUGCGUGGAUGCCGUUGAGUCCAAGAAAAUCUUGGAAGAAGUGCACGAAGGUGUUUGUGGAACACACGCCAAUGGGUUUACAAUGGCCAGACAAAUUAUGAGGUUUGGGUAUUAUUAGUCCACCAUGGAAGGGGACUGCAUCAAUUAUGCUAAGAAAUGUCACAAAUGUCAAAUUUAUGGUGAUAAGAUUCAUGUACCUCCCUCGUCCUUGCAUGUUAUGACUUCUCAAUGGCCAUUUUCCAUGUGGGGCAUGGAUGUCAUAGGGCCAAUUUCACCUAAGGCUUCAAAUGGGCAUCGUUUCAUUUUUGUGGUCAUUGAUUAUUUUACCAAGUGGGUGGAAGCUGCUUCGUAUGCCAACGUAACUAAAUUGACAGUUAGUAGAUUCUUAAAGAAGGAAAUUAUAUAUCGAUACGGAAUGCCUGAGAAAAUCAUAUCCGAUAAUGCACUGAAUCUGAACAAUAGUACAAUAGCAGAGGUCUAUAGUCAGUUUAAAAUCAGACAUCAUAACUCAUCACCAUAUCGUCCAAAGAUGAAUGGGGCAGUGGAAGUAGCUAACAAAAAUAUCAAGAAGAUUAUGGGGAAAAUGACCGAAACUUACAAAGAUUGGCAUGAAAAGUUGCCAUUUGCUCUUUAUGCUUAUCGAACAUCUGUCAGAACUUUUACUGGGGCAACACUGUUCUCAUUGGUCUAUGGAAGGGAAGCAGUUCUGCCCAUUGAAGUGGAGAUACCUUCUCUUCGAGUUUUGUCAAAAUUGAAGUUAGAUGAAGCAGAAUGGAUACAGUCUCGAUAUGAUCAGUUGAAUUUGAUUGAGGAAAAGAGGUUAAAAGCUAUUCAACAUGGACAGAUGUAUCAAAAAAGAAUGAUACGGGCUUAUGACAAAAAGGUUCGCCCAAGAGAGUUUCAUGAGGGAGAUUUGGUUUUGAAGAAGAUUCUUCCCAUACAAAAAGAUUUCAGAGGUAAAUGGAUGCCGAAUUGGGAGGGGCCCUAUGUGGUGAAGAAAGCUUUCUCUGGUGGUGCAUUAAUACUGGCCGAAAUGGAUGGAAGAAAUUUAUCUAAUCCAGUGAACUUGGAUGCAGUCAAAAAAGUACUACACUUGACAAGGGAGGGAAGCCAAAGUGAAAACCCGUAAAGGGCGCUUUGAGACUUCCAAAAAAAAAACCCGUAAAGGGCGCUUUGAGACUUCCAAAAAAAAAUAAAGGGGCCAAAGUGAAAACCCGCAAAGGGCACUUUGAUACUCAAAUAAAAAUGGAAAGGGCCAAAGUGAAAACCCGCAAAGGGUGCUUUGAGACCCAAUAAUAAAAAAGAAAGAAAAAGAGAAAAAGGAGAGGCCAAGGUGAAAACCCGUAAAGGGCGCCUUGUGACCAAAGGGGAUUUGAGUUGAAAACCCGAAAAGGGCGGCUCAGAUAUGGAUCCAAAGUGAGGAGACUGUGAUCUUGAUAUACUUGAAUUAAUCAUGAAGGGAAUAUGGUACAUCUUGGGGCAUUGACAAAGUGCUUCUGAUCUCUUAAACACAUGUUGAGUUUGAAUUAGUCUUCAAGAAGUUUGUACAGAGAAGCUCAGGUUGCGAUAACAAGCAUGCCUAGUCUUCAUUUUCAAUAAAUUGGUUAUCUUUAUCCUUUCUUUUUCAAGAUAUACAUUCUUAAAUUAAUGGCCAUUAUUGUUCUUUUGAUAAUUUACUUUGAAUUCAGGAUUAAUUUCCAUUCUUGUUCAUUAUCACGAUUUGAUUGCAAGCAUGUUGCAUUGACAUAAUGAUGAAUGAACUAGUGAUGUUUUCACAAUAGAAGUUUUGCAUAUUACUCUAAGAGUUUCUAGAUAAUGCAAGAAUCUGAAGUGAGAUAAUUGUUUAGAAUACGCUCAAGUUCAAGGAAAUAUUUGGAUAAAUCGCCUUUUUGAGGUCUCUGUCCAAAUAAUUAUAGUAUUUUUUAGAGGAAAAAGAAAUGACAUUUUGUAUUCAUACAAAGAACAAAAAAAAUGCAUAUUUGGCUAUAACACCUGAAGAAUGAGGUAGCAAAUUGACCAAGAGGAAAAUUCAACUUUGAGUUGCAAUGUUUUGUCUCAAAAAGAAUAGUAGAAGGGACGUUGGAAUUACAGUGGGGUAAGCUCGCUAAAAGGGAUAUCUUGUUUCUUUGGGAUACUCUGUUAGGAUGACGGUUUAGCAAAGGCGUCAGUAACAGCAUAUUAAUGAGCAACGGGUGACGAUGCCCUAAAUUGUUAAAAUGGAAUCAUCUUUAUUUCUGCAUGUAUCAUUUAGUUAGGAGUAUUUGAUUCAUUUUGAUCAUAGCACCCUAAUUAUUUGACAUAAGCAUCACAUUUAGUUAGGAGCAUUUGAUUCAUUUCGAUCAUAGCAUCCUAAUUAUUUGGCAUAAGCAUGUGCAUAUAAAAUGGAGUCUACAGGAUAGGUCCCCCGGAGGGCAAUGUAGCAACAUUGGUAAAGAUUGAAGAUCUUAUCUCCCUGAAGUUGCAGUGGAGUAGAUCCUUGUAGAUGGUGAAUCUUAUCUUCAUGUAUCAGCAAUGGAGUAUAUUUUACCAUCAAACCUUAUCUCUCUGAGGUAGCAAGAAAGCAGGUUGAAGAAUGAGUCUUAUUUUCCUGAGGUAGCAAGGAAGCAGACUGAGAAUUGAAGAUUUUAUCUCCCUGAAGUUACAGCAGAGCAGAUCUUCGCAGAUGGUGAAUCUUAUCUCCAUGUAUCAGUAAUGGAGCAGAUUUUACCACCAAGCCUUGUCUCUCUGAGGUGGCAAGAGAGCAGGUUGAAGAAUGAGUCUUAUCUUCUUAAGGUAGCAAGGAAGCAGACUGAGAAUUGAAGAUUUUAUCUCCCUGAAGUUGCAGCGGAGCAGAUUUUCAUAAAUGGUGAAUCUUAUCUCCAUGUAUCAGCAAUGGAGCAGAUUUUACCACCAAGCCUUGUCUCUCUGAGGUGGCAAGAGAGCAGGUUGAAGAAUGAGUCUUAUCUUCCUGAGGUAGCGAGGAAGCAGACUAAGAAUUGAAGAUUUUAUCUCCCUGAAGUUGCAGUGGAACAGAUUUUCACAAAUGGUGAAUCUUAUCUCCAUGUAUCAGCAAUGGAGCAGAUUUUACCACUAAGCCUUGUCUCUCUGAGGUGGCAAGAGAACAAGUUGAAUAAUGAGUCUUAUCUUCCUGAGGUAGUAAGGAAGCAGACUGAGAAUUAAAAAUUUUAUCUCUCUGAAGUUGCAGCAGAGCAGAUCUUCACAGAUGGUGAAUUUUAUCUCCAUGUAUCAGCAAUGGAGUAGAUUUUACUACCAAGCCUUAUCUCUCUGAAGUAGUAGGAGAGCAAGUUGAAGAAUGAGUCUUAUCUUCCUGAGGUAGCAAGGAAGCAGACUGAGAAUUGAAGAUUUUAUCUCCCUGAAGUCGUAGAGGAGUAGAUCUUCACAAAUGGUGAAUCUUAUAUCCAUGUAUUGGCAAUGGAGCAGAUUUUACCUCCAACCUCAUCUCUCUGAGGUAGUAAGGGAGCAGGUUGAAGAAUGAGUCUUCCUGAAGUAGCAAGGAAGUAGACUGAGGGUUGAGGAUCUUAUCUCCCCGAAAUGGCAGUGGAGCAUAUUGAAAAUGAAAUUUUAUCUCCAUGUAUCGGCAAUGGAGCAGAUUUAAUCUCAUCUUCCUAAAGGUAUUUGGAAAAAAGAAGCAGCAAAAAGCUGAAAUUUAACAAGACCGAGCAAAAUCGAUUCUUUUGAAGUCUUUGCUCUACUCCCGUUACACGUCAAUGAGCAAAGAGGGGCAACUAUAGUCAACCAAUUUUGCCCGGGCCCAUUUAAUUUAUUUGCAAAUAAUAAACCCGAAUAAAUAAAUAAAAUCCAAAGACUAAAUAGUCCAGUAAAGUCCCUUUACAAUUUUCAAAAUGCAUGUACCAAAAUAACUCAUGACCCAACAAAUUUUAAAACCCAAUUCUAUAAACCCAGGCCCUAAAUCUAGCCCAAACCCGAAAAAGCCCAAAAAGGAAAAGUAUUCCAGCAGCCAAGCACCAGAAGCUUCUGGAACGUGCCAGAACAGUGCCAGGGAGUUGGGUUUCACGAGCGGAUUCCUCGCACGGUUUCGUUCAAGCGUGCUUCUCCCCGUUUCUCCGUACGGCCAUUGCUCCAUACCUGCAAAAGAAUGUACGAGAGGAAGCAGCAACAGAAUGUACAGCCAAAUGACAGAGGGAAAAUGUAUUUUUAUUUUUCAUUUAUUCUGUAAAUUUGGGCUAUAAAAGCCAUUAUUUGUACCUUGAUUUUUUACACACACACAGAAUAUAUUAUACGCAUACAAUAUCUGUACACACGUACAGAGAAGAGAGAAAAGCGAUUUAAGAUCAAUAGAGGUGAUUUCAUUUUUUUUCUCUUCCGAUUUUUUUUCGUUUUUUCUUUUCUCUUUAUUUUCUUAUUUGUUUGCUCAUUUUUUAUGCAACUUAAGGCCAACUAAAGCCCUAAAUCUGCCAUGCGAAUAUGGGCGAGAGGUCACAUAAUAGUGGAAAUCUAUUCAUUUUACAAAUCUGUCUUCAUUUUUUUUCUUUAAAAAAUAACAUGAGAUUUGAAAGCUCCAUUCAAAUAAAGAAGAAAAAAGGGAAAAUACUUAUCGAAUCCUUUUAGAUCUGGUCGAGCUCCUUUAACGGCAAGAUUGGGCAUGUCUCGCUUACUGGUAAUCACCUAAAAGCAUGGUGGUUUGGUAGUCAAGUGAAGAAAACCCUAAAAAAAUUGAAUUUAAAGGCUAGAAUUUCUUUUGAUCUAAGUGGGGAUUGUGUUUGAGGAAUGAAACAGAAGAUGAUAGGUCUUAAAUGACCAGGUAACUAUGCGGCACCGUUUCAAAGCGCAAAGACUCACGCGUCAACCUGUUUUGGUAGGCCCGGUAUGCGCAUGGUUAGGGUGAAUGGGGAAAUUGCGCGACGGAUCCCUCCCCUUUGCGCCAAGUCCUCAAUUUUCGCCUGAUUCGCCUAUUUUAUGUUUUAAAAUUGGCCCGUUAGUUUGUAUAUGGUUUCAAUUGGAUCCGUGGUUUAUUGCUGCAUUGUGAGCAUGGGAUAUUUUCAAUGCUAGUCCUCACAUGUUUGUGCGCAUGGCACAUUGAUUCUAUUUUGUAAUUAUUUUAUUUGUAAAUUGUUUCUCCUGUUUUAAUUUUGUUUCAAU
This 54449-nucleotide long non-coding RNA is filed under the name Gossypium barbadense (sea-island cotton). RNAcentral's name for it is "long non-coding RNA (GBAR_LNC008000)". The record is from RNAcentral. Lineage: Eukaryota; Viridiplantae; Streptophyta; Magnoliopsida; Malvales; Malvaceae.